This 51375-nucleotide long non-coding RNA is filed under the name Coffea arabica (coffee). RNAcentral's name for it is "long non-coding RNA (CARA_LNC006077)". The record is from RNAcentral. Lineage: Eukaryota; Viridiplantae; Streptophyta; Magnoliopsida; Gentianales; Rubiaceae.
UUUUUUUUUUUUUUUUUUUUUGUGGGGGGGGGGGGGGGGGUAGAGCACUGAUGACUGCAGUUAUAAUUACCACACAACCUGAUUCAUUGAAAUGAGUAAGGCUGGUCUUUUGAAGUUUUAGAUGUUUUUCUUUUGUGGUUCCUUUCCUUGCUUUCUCCUUUCGAGGCAAUUCAAAGGAGAUUCAAGCUGGAAAAUACCGAUUGGUAAAAUUCCGUUGGAAUCGGUGUGUUCCUUGCUGUUGAAUCAUUCUUGCUCAAAUUCAAAAAGAAAAAAUGGCAUGGCUUAAUUCAUCGCUGCUGAAGAACAGGUGAACUACAAAAUGAAUAACCGGGAUCAUAACGUGUAGUCCUUCAAAAUGAAAGUAAGCAAGCAGCCUCAAUAUUGUGGAGAACGAACUCAGCAAAUCAAAUACUUCUAGCUAAGAAAAUUCAUCCAAAAACUAAAAAAAAACAAAAAAGUAUUAUUACCCUUGAAAUAUUUGUGACUGAUUUUAACCGGCAUUCCUCCUUUUGCCAGCCAAUAUACAGUUUUCUCUGAAUUAACGAAGAAUGCAGCUGCGGAUGCUGUAAGGUCAAUCAAGAAUUGGUUAGAUCUCUAAACUUAAAUACAAACAAUAUUAUUGUUAUACCCAAGAAAAGGAAAAAGUGUUCCAACUAAGUAUGGGCAUGAACAAGAAUUUCAUGAGGGCCUGAGCAGUGUAAUUAAGGUUAGCCUUUGCAUAAGGCAUGGUGCGAACAGCAGCAGUCUGAAAACACUAAACAAUUAUGAGAAUCAAUCUCGAAUUAAUUAUGCAAAUAUAAUUUCAAGCAAAUAUUAUCUCUUGCUUGAAGAGAGGUUAAACAGCUUUCCCGUUGUAUGUAUUGUUAUCCGCAUUUAGGGCGCAUUUGAGUAAACUAAAGUUCCGAAAUCUGAAUCUAUUGAAUCACUGAAUUGUUAAUUUGAUAAGUGAGCAAUUCAGAACUAUUUAAUUAAUUAAAACGUUCUAUUUUUAAUUAUCAAACAUAUCUGAAUACAUUAAGUUCUGAAUCCAUUAAAUUUAAGUAUUAAAUUAAAUUACCAAACAGGACAUUAGCCAUCCAAGUGCGUGACCUGACGAUUCAGCAGGAAUAGUUUCUUUUCAUGAUUCAGGUCACUUAACAUAUUUCUUUUUUUGAAGUAUAACUAACACAUUUCCGUUACUUCAUGGUUCAGAUUGCUGUUUUAACAACUUGUGGCCUCUCUCUUAAUGCAUUGGUACCUGGCUCAAGAAAAUGUACCUGGCUAGUAAAUAAUUUUUAUUCAAUUGUCACCAGCUCUAAAUAAAAUGCUCUUCUCUUAGAAUAAAAGAUUUAAUUAACGAAGUCACAAAAAAAAAAAAAAAAAAAAAAAACAUUGACUGAACAUAAUUAUUCUAGACCAUCCCUCAGAGAAAUUGAUUAACAGCAUUAUUCAAGUUACUGGUCCUCUUGCAAUACCCCUCCGAAGAUGAUGCUAUAUGGAUCAAAUCCAGAAAAUGGAAAAUCAAGAAUGACGAAAUUGUCCUAGAACCCAAGCAAAAAGCACCUUAACAAGCGUUUGAAAACAACCAACCAAGGAAGAUGUGGAACCGCCACCUUGGGCUUAAGUGAAGCAUAAAGAUAAGGCAGUUCUGAUUCGAAUUCUACCUAGAAGAGACAUCGAAGAAAGAUUUAGGUUAGGCAUUACACAAAACUUUGGAAAACAACAUCCAACUCAUAUGCAGUAAUGCAGAGGCGGUGGUGGCCAUAGCAGGAGAUGCACAUAGUUACUAGAUGUUGCAACUGCAGCAGCAGAUCCUCCUUCGCUUUAAGCUGAUUUAUCGUAUUGUGUAUUUCUCCUGGCACACUCCAAGAUAGUUUUGUCUGCAGUUAUAAAGUAUGCUGCAAUAGAAGCUGCACGAGAUUGCGAAUCAAGUAUGAAUUAGCAUCAACUAAUGAGAGUGUUUUCACUUCUUAAUCUUCAUCAGUGAGCAAUGAUGGUCAAAAGCACGCAAUUCUUAUGCAAGUUCAAGUGUUUACUGAAAUUAUAUCAGCCAGUAUACUGCAAUGAUCUUCCCCAGGAAGCAUUAAAAGAUAUGUACAGUUGAGAGGACAAAAGUCGUUCUCAUUCAUCUUUCAUGACAUAUAUAUGCACCUUCCAAAGUUUCUGUACCAUCAAUGAACUUGACACGCAAAUCGGAGUUUAGUCUACAUACCAGCAGUACUCAGUUGAAAGAUGAAAGUAGAGGAAAUUUUUAAGGCUGUUGAAGCUUUUAAGAGAUGCAGAAUAUUUAUGCAUUACAUGGGUUUAGAAAAGAUUCGUACGCAUAUAAGAUCCAACCGAUUAGUUUAGGAGAAUAACAAAAAACUUGAGCCCCAGAUCCACUGUGUGGUUCUUGGAAUUUACUGGGUUAACUAAACCAGAAGCAGAUCUGACACACAGUCUGUAAUGUAAUCAAGUCUUCCCACUUCCUUCAGGAGAAGAAUGCAUCGCUAUUGAAUGUUCUAAAUCUAUAUACAUUUAUGAAAAAAUCUGUGGGUUGCUAAUUACAAAUUAAAGUUUCCCUCAGGUCUAAAUUCAUGCACUAGGAAGUGGUCUUAUUCUUUCUUCUUGAUACCUUACUUGAAAUGCGCUAUUAAAUUUCAAAGAAGUCUUGCAUCGUGAAACCUUAUUGGCCCGCAAAAUGUUUGGUGAAAACCAGAACAAGUCAACUCAGUUUACACACUCGAGUAACUAGCAAGUUAUGGAAGCAGCACAGCUUUUACCUUACGAAUGCUGUAUAAAUUUAUCAUAAGCAACAGAGCAAGGCCCUCAUUUUACAGCUACAUUAAAAUGGACAUUAAGAUGUGUCAUCAAAUUGAGAAGUCAAGUCCCAUGCUUACCGCCAGAUAUAAUGAGUGCCUGGGCAGUAUAGUUGAGAUUUGCCUUAGCCCAAGGAAUUGUUCGAACGGCAGUCAACUGAAAUUGUUAGGACAAGUCCAAAGAAAAAACAUUAUCAGAGAUAAGCACGAGUUUGUACAUUUCACCAAAGGCAGGAAAUAGGACAAAUAUGCGGAAUCUAAUGGAGAUCUGACAUCUCAUAUUUCUGGCCCAUCUUCUCAUUCAUGGGACACGAAUAUGUUUGCUAAAGUGCAGAAGAUCUGCAUGAGCACAUAUUGGGUAUUUCAAGUUUAUCCUAACCAUCUAGACAGUAGCUCCACCUCCCACCAUCUGCAUUCUACUUUCAAGGGGCUCAAAAUAUAAAUAUUCGAGUAUGUGCUUUAGGGAUUAAAUUGCACAAGUCGGGAAAAUAUUAAGCUUAGAUCCACGUUCACAGUUGACAGUAAAAAACAAUCUCAGUAAUUAAACCUCAUUAUCCUCCAAUUUAAAAUCCUUAACAACACUGACAAACAAAGGCAGUUUUACAUGCUUCGAAAGUUGGAACCAAGCAGACAAUUGUAGAGCGAUAAACUGCCAGGAUUCUCGGGAAAAAAGCCAGGAAUCUAACCAGUCCUAUGACAUAUUACCAACAGCCAGACGUGCACUUAGGAUUGCAUCCCAAUACAUCCAAUCACAUAUAGCAACACAAAUUGCUCCAAAACAAAUUCAAUACCGUUGGGAUAGCACUGGCAACACAAGCAAUUGCAGCUGCCUUGGCUCCUGCACGUACACCUUCUGCGAGGAGUGCACAGAAACCAUGAUUAUUUGCUUCUAAGAGCUCUAGAAACAUGUCACUUAUGCAUAGGCACAGAGACAUAAAGAUCUUGUUAGUGUGUAAAAAUAAUCAUAUGCUUUACUAACAACACAAGGAAAUCAAGAAAAGUGGAAUGCCAAUCCCUGGCAAGUUGGAGUCCAAAGCUACACUAACAGGAUGUCAUCAUUCAUGGAAAACAAAAGUCAUGACAACAGCUUACUACCCUUUUGCUUGGGAAGUCAAGCAAAGAUGUCCAAAAUUCAUCCUUCUGCUAAACAGUAACCAAAAAAAAAAUUACUGACAAGUUUUCUUUUAAGACUCAGUAGUCUUAAACUAUAGAAUAGCUUGUGUUGAUGCCUUAAAAUGAAUAUACAGCCUAAAAAAAUAUACAAUUGCUAAUGUGCCAUUUCCAUCCCUUAAUACUUCUUUUCAGCUUUCUCUUCAAAUUCACAUAAUUCUCCAACCCCAAAAUAGUAAUAAAGUUCCCAUCUUGCUUUCUCUUUUUCCUUUUUCCUCCAAAAUACAUCAGGAAAUCCUCGCAAGAAUUUUUUAAAUGCCUAUGGAAUUGUAAGAUUCAUUAAAGCAUCUGGUCACCUGAUGAAACUCAGACAAACAUCGCAGAAUAAACAGGCCCAAAAACAGAACAAUGAUCAAAAUGCAAAACUUAAAACCAACGAAAGUUUCUUUUCUUCAUCAGCUUCCCAAAAAGCUAAAAAAAAAACCCAGAAAAAGAAAAGGAAAGGAUUCUUUUUUCCUUUUGGAUUCCAACCUCGAGUGCACUCCCUUGAUCGACGAAUCUUCUCUUCUUCAACUGGAGAUGUAAUCCACAACGAUUCCCUUCUUUUGUUCAGCCAGGUAUUUCUCAUUUCUGAUGGAAUUCCCAUUUUUUUUUAUUUUUUGUUUCUCUUUUUUGUUUCUUUCUUUCCACCUAUGCUGCCUCCUCAAGAAUCUGUCGAGCAAAAAGCCGAAAUAAAUAAAGAGAAAAAUGUAAUUUUGGUCCCCAAUAUUUAGUAUAUAUGUAGCUUUAGUCCUCAAAUUUUUUGCUAAAAAUAGAUCCAGUUCUCAACAUUUAACACUUGUACAGUGUUAGUCCCUAAAAUUUUGAUAAGAACAAAAUUGGUUCUUGAUGUAUCCAAUUUAAAGCAAAUUUAAGCGAAUUGGAAAAAAAAAAUUUCCAAUUCACUCACGGGAUUUAGUCUGGUUUAGUGUGUCCAUUAAUUUGAAUUUAAGAAUUUAAAAAUAAAGAAGCAAACUAGCGGCUAAUGCUAAACAACAAAAUUAAGACUAAUUAACCAAUAAAACCAACUGUUAAAUAAGAAAAUUAAAUCCAAUCAAAGCGUCCAACUCAUCGAUCCAAAACUCAUUUUCACUAUCUAUCUCAUCAACCCUAGGUGAAAAACCCUUUUCGAGUGUCAUUCUCAUUAUUUAAAAUCAGGCGUUGUUUUGCUUCUUUUUUAAGAAAAAAAUUAAUUUGAUGAAUGCGUAACUAAAUUCUAUUUAUCGAAACUUUUAAGAACUAAGAUUGUGAAAAUACCAAACAUUGUUAAAGAUUAAAAUAACACAUUUGCUAAACAUUAGAGAUCAAGAGUAGACUUCUCCCAUAAAUAAAAAGCCCAUAUAAACGGUCAAGGGGAAGACAAACUCCAAUUUGGCUUUCGCUUUUGGAGUUGAAUUGAAUAAGUAAGUACUUUCUAUUUUUGUUCCCAGAGAGAAUAACAAAGAAAGAGGAGGAUAAGGGCACCGAACUCAAAUAGAGUUCUGAUAUAUGAGUAAUAAUAAUUAGUAUGUGAAGGUGAAUAUCUGAUUUUAAGUCAUCCAACUCAAAUAGAACGCGUCAAAUAUGAAAACCUCAAAAAUUAAUUGGACCCACUAAAUAAUAUAAUAGACUAGUAACCACUGAGCCAAACUCAAUAGCCACCGAUAAAUCCCACUUGUGGGCGGUAGGUGAAGGUUCAAAUCCCAUCUACAGCAAAAAAAAAAUCUAAGAGUGAUGCCAAAGUACCCCUUUGAUCUAAUAAGAUCUGUAUACAUGUUAGUCCCCAACACAAGUUUCUUUACGCUCCACCUCCCCUCUAGUUUAAGGUAGAAUAUGUUAUAUAACAAUUAUCGUUUCCGACAGAAAAAAUAAAAAAAAAGAAUAAUAAUAAGCUAGUAUAUAACUCUUAACCAAUCUCUUAAGAAAUCUGCCAAACUUGAAACAACGUCUUAAUCCAUGUUUAUAUGCCCAGAUUAAGAUUAACAGAUUCCGCAUGGAGUGGCCAAUCAGCUAGUUUCUGUCAUUUUAUUCAUUGAAGCCUGAAAAUCAAACGGGUCUUAGUUUAUGUGGUAAACAAUAAUCUGGGCUAACAGGCUAAGAUAAGAUGUAAAAAAUUUCGUCUGAAGCUGCCAAUCAGUUUAGUUUUUAUUCAUGAAGCCUGAAAAUCAAAACGGCAACAUGUCAAACCCCAACUACAAAACCAGCAGAAAGAGUUAAUACAGCUUCACAGAGUAUUUUGAGCCCCAAAAUAGCUGAAUAUUGCUCCACAUGUCGAAUGACGGAGUGAUGCAAGGCUGAGAAAAUAACAGGUGAUACAUUUUCUUCGCUACUAUGGAAAUUUCUUCUCUGCCUGUCCUGUUUCUUCUUAUAGGGUACCCGUCCUUCUGUUCUAAUAAGAAGAUGCCAAGAGGAUACAAAUUACUUUGUCCUAAGUUGCCAAUAGGAUCCAGAGGCCGGCCACCUCAUCCCCCAAAAUAGAUACCGAAAUGCUGAACUAAAUUGGGCAUCAGCAUUUCUAUGUUAACACUGGAGGAACUCAAGGAGUGAGAGAUCAAUUCCAUAGCCAAGCACUUAUCAGAUAGAUGCAUCAGAAAAGCAACUGGAUUCAAUAGAAUUACAAUGACGAGGACCAGCCUGAAUUUGUAAGUCAUGGGGAGGCAAUUAUUCUCGGGGAGGUAUAACAAUAAUACCCCCCCAGCAAGAGGAGGACCGUCUUCCUUGUUUUUAUCCAUCAAAAUAUGGGACCAUUGAAAAAAAAAAAUUUGCAUCUGGCACAGAAAAAUGUCACUUGCAUGAUACAAGAAGCAAUCCGCCGGACUAUAAGUGACAUUCUUUGACAUAGAAGGCAGAUUGCAUAGCAAUUGGAUGGUAAUGGAAAUCUAUUUUAACAAAAUCAACUUGCAUUCAAAAACCCCAAGCAUCUCAAUCAAAUCAUUCCAUUAAGUAUCACCCAUUUAAAAGGGAGGAAACAGCUUAUCAUAAGCAAAGAGAAGAUACAGUGAUGGAUAAUAAUAAUUGAUACAAGAAAAAUACUACAUCCUUCACUUUUGAGGUUGAAGCACACGCAGACUCGUCCAAGACCUCCAUAAUGAUAUAAAUAAUAGUAUUCUGCAACAAAUUCCAACUUCAGAUUGAAUAAGAUAGGGAAAAUGGAAGGUCAAGAUAAUUGUAAGGAGAACGAGAUGCAAAACAACAUUGAAAUAUGUCCAAUGAUUGAGGGAAAAAGGUAAAACAAGCAGCAUACCAGCAAGCCUAGAAACUCUGAUCAAUAAGAUAAUCACCCAGCCUUUCAACAAUCAUGUUGCACUGACCGGCAGUCAUAGGCUCAUCAUAUAUACCAAUAAUCAAAGCCAAGUUGGUCUUCUUAACAGUAAUCCCUCCAGGCCCCUGAAAAUUUUGUCUGAAAUAUGUCACGAAAUACAUAGUACAAUGUAAAAAGACACAAGAGGAGGGAGUGGCCAAGACUCCCCAAAGAGACCAUCCAAUACCAAAACAUUUCAUCAGGUUCUGUUCCAACUGCACCCUUGUCUUCUUUCCCUAACUCUUCUGUCUCACUCAAUCUCUCUCAUCAUACCCAAAAAUGAACAAAAUGUAAUAUUGAACUUACAGAAUUUACUUGUUGAAAUUUUGAACAAGCAUACAAACGUAUCUCCACUGAGAAGAGAAAUGCAUUAAGAGGCCGAAGUUCAAUGGAAAAUGUCUCUUUCAUCACACACUCUUGUUUCUACUCAGUUUUUCUUUCUUUUUUUUUUUUUAAAUAGUACCGCGUAAAAUAUGGUGCAAUUUUUUGAACAAAGACCAAUUCUAUAGACCUACUGAACUAUUGAUAUCCCAACUUAACAAACUGCAGAAUUAUGCAUUCCAAUUUGACGAGAAGCAACUACUUAGUAUCGAAGCUGGAAGCUUUUCCAUGUGAAAAGUUGUACUGGAAUAAACAGAUGACAACUAUCAUAAAUCAAGACCCACAAGAAUAUGUAGGGAAUAGAUACAAAUGUAAUACUCCCGCAGACUAGAAAUAUAACGUCCAACCAUUACCUUCUUUCCUCUGAUAACAGCCCCUGAUUCCCCUUGAAUCACCAUAUACUUUGUGCCACCGAGAUACAGUCCAGUUGGAGCAAGGGUCCCAGGUUCAGAAAAAUCAUUCAUAAUAGCUGCGAUCUCCUCUGGCUUAAACUGUUGAAAAACAAUCAGAAAGAAGAAUCAGUUAAAAUAAGUAGGACAGAUUCAAUUAAACUACAACUACUAAAAUGCAAUAAGCAUGUCAUUAUACAAAUGAACUAGACCAAAACACUUGGGAAAAUAAAAUCAAAAUCAACAAAACAAAUUAGAUGACCAGAGACGCAUAAUUUUACAAUAAAACAACAGUGAGCAAUUUUCAAGUCGCCAUGCCAACGCCUGCAUAUUUGGUUACCUUCCAAUUGCCUUGCACACUAGUUGCCCAACAGUACACAAACCAGAACCAUCAACUCGUACACUAACCCAGUUUCAUAACAAUAAAGUGAUCAUUGAGAUCCUUCUUCUAGCUUCCAUGCCAAAGAGACAAGAGUAAAUUGAUUCAAUAAGAUAUUUCACCCUUUCUUUUACAUUUGAAGUUCACAGGAUCAAUUAUGAACUCCAAUGCAAUAUGAGAAGAAAAAAAAAAGCAAGGCACAUAAAAGAGCAUUCUCAGGAGGUCAGGUAAACAUUAUACAGGGACAAUAAAUCAUGCAACAUAUGAACUAUAGUAGCCAAUAAAGCCAAAUUCGACGAUACGUACUCAUCCCUCCAUCCCAUAAAAUUUGUCUUCUUGGUUUGGAAGCAACUUUUAAGACAACUUCAUCGUAAGAAAACAAGGCAUUUAAGUUUAAAGAAGGCUAUUAUUUAAAAUACAGAGCAUAUUAAAUUGAAUUUUUCCAAAAGUGAAGAAAUCAUAGAUGUUACAGAAAGGGAAAGCAUGAUUUUAGUAAUGGCACAGAGAAUAUUAAACUGUACAAGAUUAAAAUUUAUAUGAAGUGGUUAUGACGUGGAACCUUCAUUCCGUGCCCAUGUGUACCUUCCGAAGCUACAAAGCCUCGAGCCCGAUUAGUUAAUGAUUCAGUCUUUUUUUUAAAAAAAAGGGCACAAAAUCAAAUUUGCCAAGAGAUUGCCUUCAUCAAAAUUGGUUUUUGCCCAGCAUUCCAACUACUCGUAACAAAAAUCAAACAAACUAGCCCCAGUAGAACAAAAAAGGUAGUGUCUUUGCACAAACGCAACAUCCCUCGAACCCUAAAACUCCUUCCGAAUUUCCACUGAUACGGAAAUCUUAAGACUUUCAUCGAAAUGACCAAUCAUCUGCCAAUAUCACUUCUCACGAAAUCCAUAAAUCUGCAUUUAUUAUUAUUUGUUAAGUCCCAAAGUCAAUUAAUUUGUUGAACUUAUCGCUUUCUCCCUCAGACUACAAGCACCCAAUCUGAGCCCAUCUCAGAGUCAGAACAAAAUCACGAGAACAGCUAAUUUAAUCAUACAAAUCAUAGGAAAUCAGUACAUCAUCUUCUACUGAAAUUACCCUAAAUUUAAAAAUUCAACAAGGGGGGGGGGAAUCUGAAAUCUGAAUUAAUCUAACUGAACUAAAUUAUUAAAACCCUAGUAAAUCAGUCCACGGCAAUAAAAUCCAGUAAAGGACACCAACUUUAAAUGCAUAAACAAAGGGAGUUCAAAGCAAAUCCAAUCAAAGGAGAGUUGAACAGAAAAAGAGGUGGACCGGAGGGAAAUUAGCGCUCUGAGCCCAAACGGUGCCGUCAUGGCCGAUAAUAGCGGCAGAUGUGAGAUGGGUCCCCUCGAUCUCACACAUCAAGUGGUCAUCAACAUACGAUUGCCACGACAUCUUCUCCUCCUCCUGCUUCCGCUACUCCUGCCGACUAAGGUGUAGACUUUGUCUUAGAUCUUUGAGGUUAUUUUGCUCUUCCUUCCUUUCUUAUCGAGAAAUUGAAGAAGUGGUGAGAGGAGACGACCACGGUUAGGGGAUUUAUGUUUGUUUAUUGGGAGAUGGAAAAAAAAGAGUUGCGUUGAUUUUAAGCUUUUAAUGUUUGUAAUGAUGGCGAUGAGUGAUGAUGAUGAUGAUGAUGGUGAUGGGUAUAUGCUAUCGUAUUUUGGCAGAAUUCUGAUGCCUUGAAUUACCACAAUAGUCCCCUCAUAUUUUAGAUACUGACUAAUUGCGCCCCACAUUUCUAUUUUACCAAUUUUAUCUUUUUUCUUUUUUUCAAAACAAUAAGCAGUUUCUAUUGAUCACAAAAGCUAUACAGUUGCGAGCAAUGGCUCGAUCAGACUAUACAAUCACUGUACUUGCACACUAAUAGCUAGUUUGGGAGCAUAAGAUAGAAAAGAAAAAUGAGAAAACAUUAUGAAAGAAAAAAAGAAGAGAAAAUAAUGGCAGUGAUUUUGAUGUUAUUUGAGAGUUUAAGAAAAUAAUGAAAUGACUUUGGAUAUAUAUGUUAUUAAAAUUUUGUUUAGUGCUCAUCUAAGUAUAGAAUUUGUAUUUUGAAAAAAUUUGUAGAUUUUCUUCAACGUUCUAUCCAAAUCAGGUAAUAAAUGAGCAUAAAAGUUUUCUAACUAUAUUUUCGGGCGUGAGUAAACUCACAAAUGAGAGAAAAGUAUUCCUUGCCCUUACUUUCAUUUCUUUUUCUAUUAAAUCCCAUCUCCCAAACUAGCUAUUAUAGGAAACAAAAGCUCCUCUUUUGAGAUUCUAAAUUUUAUCCAUAGUGGUAUGUCUGAAAUUCUGAAUCCCUAGUUCAAAAUUGUCUCUUUCACAAAUAGUCGAGCAUAUAUUAGAUCAAUAUUAUAUAGGAGAUAAAUGUUGGAGGAGUUUCUCAUGCUGAUUUUGACACGAAAGAUAGAAGUAGAAGUUCAUAUUUUUUGGUCUAUAUGAAUUGGACAUUUUCAAAGGUAUUUUUUAAAAAACGUUACUAUAAUUUUGUAUAUUAUAAUCUUUCACAACAUAUGUAUUUUUGGGUGUUUUUAAGAUUCAAAAUUUUGUUAGGAUAUUUUUAAGAAUUUUCUUAUCCAUCCUCCUCCCCCGCCCCCCAUCCUCCUCUCCAUUUCUUGUAAGCAAACAAUUGAAUUUGAUCUUUGUCCUAAAAAGAUAAUCACCCGAUCUAAGCCUACCAAAAACGGUACAUUGUGUAUGCAAAUGUAUGUGAGUCUACAUAUAUGUGUGUGUGUGUGUUUGAAGGAUCAAACUAUUUCUCUUCAAACAUAAAGGGCAAAAUACAGAUUUUUGAACCAUGUUGGGGUUUUUUUUUUUUUGGGGUGGGGGGGGGUCUUGUUAGAAAUUUCCCUAAGUUUAAAGAAUCACCGCAAAAUUAGAAAAAGGGGAUGUGUAGUGGGGGAGAAAAUGAGUUGGUCGUGUCUGAAAAAUGUAUGUGAUGUCGCGUUGUCAUUCACUGUGGACUCCACGUGCCCACUUGAGGGGACUACCCUACCUCCUCUUAUUUUUAUUGAAUAUUUCAGACUUGUACUUUUCCUCUUGAUUUACGCUUUCCUUUCCUUUCCUUUCCUUUUAUAGCGGUAAUUGGCCCAAAGUGGUCCUUUCCUUUCCUUUCCUUUUAUAGCGGUAAUUGGCCCAAAGUGGCAGUGGAGCAGGAGGAACCCAAUAAAUCACCCCCACUAUUAUUAAUUUAUUAUGGUUGAAAUGGAGAGCCAAUCAAAAAAUUAUUAAUAUGGCUUUAAUAAUUCUUAAUUUGGAAAAAUUAGAGUGAUUACGUAAUGAUGAUAAAAAUAGAUACUAUUAUUUUACUCGUUCAUAGAUUUUAUAUUUCUUUUAGUCGUACUUCGUAUGGUAGGUCUAAAAAUUUCAACUUUUGAACCGUCCGAUCGAAUAUUUAAGUACAUAAACAUGUCUAAAUCAUUGCCUUAAAAUGAAUGCUAAUUCAAUAUUUUCAUUCUUCCCCCUUUCCUUCCUCUCAUCCUCCUCCAAAAACAAAAAAAAAAAAAAAAAUUCAAGGAGAAAGAAAAUCAGUCAAUCAGAAGAGUAGAAGAGUACCAUGGGACUCGGAAUAAAAGAAUAGACACUCUAGAUGGAUAUUAAAAAGAUAUUAGCUAGAGAUUUAUUCGAGUUGAAAAAAAAAAAAAUGUUACUACUAUUAGUGAAGAAGCUAAACCAACUCCAGUUGGAUCAUCUAUUGGGCUCUGAACUUACAUAUUGACGUCAUUUGAUGAUCUACCAUGAUUGGGUCUGUUUAGCCUGCGAACUACAAGCCCUCCUUAAAAUGUCCAUCCAUCACUGCUACUGCCUACUAGGCCCAACACUCAAGUCCACAUUCAUUGGGUCAUGCCACCAGAAUCUCGAGUCUGCUAUAUUACUAUAGUUGUUGGAGAAGGGCUGAAUCCAUACCUCUGCACAGUAAAUCCAUAUUAUAUACAUUUAGUAGACAUUAAUGCCUUUAACUUUUAUGCAUUAACACAAAGCUUUUUAAAGUAUUUAAAAUGUCUUUCUAUAUAAUGAAAACAAGGAGUAAUAAUAUAUUUUCUAAAGAAAAAAAUUUAUGUACCCCAAAUUUUAUAUUAAUUCAAUGGUGGAAUUUCUUUUCUUGUUUAUUUUAUUCCAAAAUUUAUGUUUUCUCUGAAGUUGAUUUGGUUAUUUCUUUUUUCUUUUUAUGAGUUUUCUACCUUUAUUUUGUUGAAUUGUUUUUUUUAUACUAAUUUACGUAUAAUCAAAGAGCGGAUUUUAGUUUGAAGAAGUCAUUAUAAUUGCAUGUUGAACCUUCAAAAUUGCGGACAUUUUAAUUCUAUGGAAUUGAAAUAUAUAGACAUUGUUAUUUACAUGUUUAUUUGUAACUGAAAAAUCAGGAACGCUUAAUUUGAUAUUAAAUUAAAAAUUAAAUAUCUUUAAGUAUUCAUAAGAUGUUUCAAAAUAUUCUUUUUAUACGAUGUAAAUAUUUUAUCUCCUUUUCUAUUUUGUCAAUAUAUGUUUCUUAAAUCCACAAGAACCAUCGAAUAAACUUAAUAAAUACGAGCAUUAUUCUCUAUUUUUUUUUUUUUUGUCAAACGGCAAUGUACGAGCAUUAUUCUCUAUUGAGUGCACGAGAUGUGGAUUUAGCAUGGAGGGGCAUGAAUUUAGCCUUUCCCUACUCCAAAAUAUAUACGUAGAACGUACCACAACCAAGGCGAUGGAUACGUGGGCAGUCUCGUACUUUCAUUUUAUACUUGAAUGGAAUCAUUUUGGGUGGUUUUUAGGGAUGACAAUGGGGCGGGGGAUGGGGGUUGUCAAAUAACUCCCCCCGUCCCCCGUCCCUUGCCCCCCACCCCUGGUCCCGUUUUUUCCACGGUCUCCCGUUUCCAUGUCAGAUUAACUCUUUUUUUAUAUAAUAUUAAAAUUUUAAACCAUUUAAUUGUCGUAAAAUGAGUAUUAGUAUACAAGAUGGCAGAAAUUCAUAUCCAAAGCCCCAGCAUAGCUUCAAAGCAAGAUAGAGCUUUUCCCAUUAAAUAAUAGCAUUUACCGGUCUCCUGAACUAAUUAGUUAAAGAUAACCCGUCCAUAAUAAGUUAUAUCCAUGACUAUCUAAAAGGAUUUAAUAACUCAGAAUUCAACAAACUAAAAACACUUAAUAAUAAAUCAAACUUUUCUCUUCAUUAAUAUAAUUCAACAACUUCAGAACAUUUGCUCUUCAUCAACUGGAGAUGUGAUAACUCACUUGAUAUAGCAACUCUGACAUUUGAUGUUAAAAUAAAAGAAGAAUCUUGUCACCAAACUAUAGUGUAUAACAAAUAAUUGGAGAAAAAUAAUUUAAAUGAAUUAAAUUUAUUUAGUACCUAUUCAGUAACACAAUCAACAUCAUCUUUUUCAUCCAACAAUGUAUUACAUGACAUCCCUCCUGAAGUAGAGCAAGUAGCUGCAGCAAAAAAAAAUUAGCCAUUGAUGAACCAACCCAAGUCAAAGGAAAAGACCAAAAACAACGGGAUGAUUUUGUGAAACGAUGGAAAUCAGCUGAAAAAUCAAAUAGCAAAACUACAUUUGGUAGUUCUUAAUCUCCAGCAACCUAAACGUGAAGUAUUAAAAAAAUAAAAGUAAAUUUUAAGUACCACGGCCCACGGCAAAGGAAAGAGACAUCUAAAGGAAUUGACAAAAAUGGGAUCUUAAGUUUUAAGCACCACGGCAAAGGGAUUGACACAAAUACAAUCAUUUAUUCACCACGCAUGUUUCAUUAAUCUAUCAAGAUAAGAAUGAUAAGGAAGCAAACCUAGAAAGAAUUCAAGAGCGGAUGAAAGCAAAGCGUUAAAAAAAACGCAGAAUAAAGAGGGUAGAAGGUCCAGACCGUGUGACAGUCGGCAGAUGAUGUGAAGGAGCAGCUUUAGAAAAUUUAGAAUUAUUUUAUGUGUGUGUGUAUAUAUAUAUAUAUGUUUUUGCGGGUCCCAUCCCCGCCCCCAUCCCAUUUUUACUUUUACACCAAUUGCUAUCCCUAGCGGUUUUGGACAAUUUCAGCAACAACCGGCCAAGGGAAGGGUCAAGAGUCCAAACCAUCGACCCUAGAAAGAGGAUAAUAUAAUGGUCAACCAAGCCUAAGACAAAUGUCUUUUUAACAAAUGUUUCGAGAACAAACGCUUACCAGCCCCACAUCUUUGGGUAAUUUCACACGGCCAGACAGAAAAAAGCGCAGUGGCGCCACCUGUUUUUAAUACAACCGGCUCAAAGGAUUCGCGGUUUCCUGCUAAAGUCGCGUUCCUCUUCCGCCUCUCCUUCCCCACUUGACCUUCUACUUUUCCAGUCAGUUUUGAAUAAGAAAAGCUACUAAAACGCAAAAUAAUUAUCUCUUUUUUAAGAAAACAUAAAAAAAAGGAAUAGAUAUAAUCUGUUUCUUAUACUAUAAAUAAAAUCCAUUAAUUUGUGCUUUUUAAACGACUAAAAAUGUUUAAACAGAAAGAUUCGCAACCAAUUUCGUAAAACUUCUUAAAAGUGAUGUGAAAAUUGUCCAACUUACCUCUCAUUUUUUGAUCAUUAAACUGAAUCUUUAUUCCGUCCUAAUUAAAACCACCGUCGUUAAAAUUUAGUAAAGAUAGCUAACUAAGUACUAAUUUGCCAUCAUUAAUGAACCCGUGAUUCUUGUCUCCCAAGAAGCUUCCACUGAUCCAUCCCUCUUCUCUUCUUUCCAGAAUAUAAACCACCGUCAAUAGACUUAUAAAAAAACAAAAUUCAUUUAAUUAACUAAAUUAGUCAAAAAUCUGAUCAGCUCUGUUAAGGCACUACUGAGAGGGAUGGGGACUCCGAACAAUACCGCCGGCGGCGAAGAGAAUGGGGUGAUGAUGAAGGUUGUCGCCGGUCCCGGCGGUUACAUUCUCCAAGAUGUCCCUCACUUAACCGACUACAUCCCCGAUCUCCCUGUCUGUAUCUUCUUCCUUCCUCUCUUUUUGUAUGAAAUUGAUUUUUCGUGCUUUCGCGCCAUGUUAUGUAAUUAUUAUACACAAGUGCACGUGGGGACUGGGGAGCGUAUUUUUUGAAAUAUGAUGCGGAUGAUUUGGUUGAAGAUGUAAUCCUUCUUUGUGGAAUAGGUUUUAUGUUCGUGUGUCACUAUUGGCGAACUUUAGAAAUUUCAUGUUGUCGAUAUCAGGAGGUUUUGCUGCUUCUUCUUUUUAAUUUAUUUUUUAUUUGUUUUAAUUACGUCAGAAAUCGUAUAUCCGGUCGUGAUGUGAUAGUUUCUACUGAUUCGCAUAUCGAAGGAUUAAGGUGAUUAGGUGCAGGAAAUUUUAGUCUGAAGGAUUCUUGAUACCUGAAUUUACAGAAAUAAUUUUUCAACGUAUAAGCAAUGAUCCAAUAUAAUUUACAGGAAAACGGGCGUAGUUUGUGUCUCCAAAUUCUCGUUUUCAACUUGCAAACUUGCAAGUGACAGGAAUGCUGUCUUCAUGACAAAUCAGUUCUUUAUUUAAAAUUAGCGCAAUGUUGUAAAAUUUCUUGUUUAAGGAGUUUUAUGGAUUACUUGAGGAACGUGGUCUUAUCUGGUCGUAAUGAGGUAUUAUUACCUCUUGAAUUUUGUACCUCAUGGAUUAGGGGUUUCGGUUUUCAUUCAAAUUAAGGAAUUAGCUUUUUGAGUUUCCUUCACAUUGACAAUCGAAAUAGCUUGUAAUUAUAUUUCAUGCAUGGUGAGCUAUAUUUAUUUUUCCUGUGUUGGAUCUCUUGUAGAACAGCAUGAAUCUGGUAAUAUGAGUAACUUAUUAGUGGAAACAAGAGAAGAAUUUGUUUUGCGAGAGUUUUAACUCUUCACUUGCCUUACCAUCUUAUUGUUAAUAAUAUCCUUAAAAGUUGUUGAACAUAACGCCAAAGGGAACAACAAAACUGCAAUUGUUAUAUGAUAGUUGUACUGCACAUCUGUGCAAGUCAAUAGGCACUUUUUGAGCUAGUGCUAAGCAUGAAUGGUCUAUGGAGAGUAACGUUUUUAUUUCAGCCAGUAGUCUACAAUGCUCCAAUGCUCAUUCCCAUUGCUAGUUCCUUAUGAGCACGGUCAUAGAUUAUAUGACAAUAUUCUUGUCAUGUGAGUGUCGCACUUUUCUCUUUUCUCUCUAUUUGUUUUUUUCUUUUUUAGUAUGUGUCCUUAUUGGGUUCUUGGUUCCUUGGCAGACUCAUCCCAACCCACUGCGGUCAAAUCCUGCAUAUUCAGUUGUGAAGUAAGUCCAGUUAGUUUUUACUUAUGCAGAGUGGUAAGUUACCUUUUCUUUGCACCUUAAUCAAAAGAAAAUGAUGCAUUUUUUACUUUCAGGCAGUACUUUGUUCACAUGGAUGACACCGUGCCACAAAAGGUGGGCUCUUAACUCUGCUGGCUGUAUUGGGACUUAAAUAUUGAUAUUCUUGAUUGGUACUUAACUAACCAGAAACCAACUUUUGGGCGUUGGGUUUUUUUUUUUUGGGGGCAGGGGGUUGUGGCAUGGAAAGAAUUCAGGUGCACGGUUGUCAUCCGUGUAUUCCAUAAAGAAUUUAAGAAUGCAAAAGUGGACAAUUAAAGCUGGAUUAUAUCUUUUUCUUCUGGAGCAUAAUGGAGUAGCAUUCGCUCAUUUUUUCCCCUGUAUCGUUGUACAUGCUCCAACUGAUGGAUAGAAAUUGGUAUCAGUUUAGCCCAAACCACAAUCUUUUUUUUGAACAAAAUAUCAUUGUAUGGUUUAACGUUUUCAGCAUGCAGCUAGUGAUAGUUUAAGUUUGCUUAUCUUUUCUGCUUAGGAUAAGGCAAUUUGUGUUGAUAUAACAAUCACUAGCAUUACAUUUGGAACAGGACUAGGUGCAAAGAUAGGUUGUCCAAGUCAUGCCUCUCUGUUAGAGGUGUUCCAGAAAUGUCUGUGAUCAAGUAAAUAGCUCUACAAAGGAAUAUCCUUAUUAUCCCUUCUCAUGACACUGAUGCUAGACUUAUCUAGACAAAGACACUUACUAAUAUGUCUUCCUUCUAAUGCCCCUCUUCAGUUCUCUAUCAUUUGCUCUCUAAUGGUCCUUUUUCGAACAAUAAGGCUGCUAAUAUACUUGUUUUAAAAACUGGUAGCAAACUUAAACGGUCAUUGUCUCAAACAGUCAGUCUAUCUGCUACCUUUGGUUCCCACGCUUUGUAAAAUGUUCUUUGUGCGCCUCUUUGGGGUGUUGCUACAACAGCAGCAACUGAAACAUGUUCUUCUUAUUUCACCAAAUAUAGCAUUCUCAAAGCAUCUUAUAUGUAUCCCUUUACUUAUUAUUUACCUAUUGCAAAUGAAGUUCUUGCAUCACAUAGCUAUUUAUCUGUAUAAGCAGUAGUUUGAAUUGGCAUACGGAUGUGUAGCUGUAAACCAAUAUGCAGAAAGAGUGACAGAGAUGUGCUACUAUUAGAUUGAUGGAAUGAGUUUGUUGGGAAUUGAAAUGACUAAUCAGUGUGCCUGGUUUGGGAUUGUCUUCCUUUAAAUUGUCCCUUGGUACUUAUUUUGUCAUGCCAUUGAAGUUGAGGGUACAUCUUUUCUUCUCUAUUUGAUAUGACAUGUCUGAUCAACGUUUCUUGCACCUUAAGUAACUCCUUUUUUUUUCUUUUUCUUUUUUUAAAUAUUGCUCUUUAUUAGUUGUAAAGGUUGGUAUGAAAUUUUCUAGCCUUUUUUCCGCAUAUAUUCUUCCUUUGAUUAAAACAAAAGAGUGUUGCUGCUACACUUUCAUGCUAGCUAUUCAUAUUAGUUAGGCAUUUAGAGCCACUGCAUGGAAUUUUCAACAAUAUCUUUUCGUUCAUAUUAAUGUAUUCACGACCUCUUUUUAGGUUGUUGUCCAUAAGGAUAGUCCGAGGGGGAUACAUUUCCGACGUGCUGGACCACGCCAGAAGGUAUUGACAUUCUUUGAAUGUGAAUAUUGGUUAAAGGUCAAUCUAGUUUACAUUCACUAAUGCAAGCGUUGUUUGUGCUCAGGUAUAUUUUAAAUCAGAUGAUGUGUCUGCUUGUAUUGUGACAUGUGGUGGUUUAUGCCCGGGGUUAAACACGGUGAUCAGGGAAAUUGUUCACAGUCUUGAUUAUAUGUAUGGUGUCAACAAAGUCCUCGGAAUAGAUGUAAGUUGAAGGGUUCCUGACUUUGGAUUUCACUUCUACUAUUUCCACAGUGCUUUUCAAAUUGAAAAGCAUUGUUUUGAGCACAAACUUCAGUGUAUAAACUCAAAAAGAAAAAUACUGAGCCUUGAACUUUUUAACAACUUAUUCUGCUAAAUGAAUUUAUGCAUGAAAUGAAAUAAUAUUGAAGCGGCUUUUUGACUUGAAAGUUGCUUUGUUGGAUAAGUGAUCAUGCUCAUGUUUACUAUUGAGUGAGAUAGUUACUUAGAUUUAGGAAUAGUUGUAAUUUUAAUAAUUAUGUUGAAACUAAUUUGCAUGGUAAAUGCUGAAUGGAGGAUGCAAAUGCUCUUACUGCUUGCUUUCAGUGAGUAAUAUGCUUAAACUAAACACUUGUAGCUUCCAAGGGUAUGGGAUUGAGCUAUAUAGUUGUAUAAGACAAUGACAUCAUCGGCUUCCUAUUUUUAUUGCCAAAUGUUUUACAGAAAUGAAAUUGCAAAUUUCCCUUCUGCUAAGCUUAAGCUUUUUUCUUUUAAUUUACAAACAAGAUUUUGGGGCAUGAUGUGAUCCUUUUUUACAGGGAGGCUACAGGGGUUUCUAUUCAAAGAAUACCAUUCGAUUAACACCUAAGACUGUGAAUGACAUACAUAAACGUGGGGGGACGAUCCUUGGAACAUCUCGAGGAGGGCAUGAUACAUCUAAAAUUGUUGACAGCAUUCAGGACCGUGGAAUCAAUCAGGUUUGUCAAAUUGUGUGGUAUAACGUAGUAAUUAUCUAAAGAGUAAGUUGUGUCACUGUUAUCAUGACACCGCUUUGGCUCGUAAAAAUUCUGGAUUGAGUCUGAUACUGCAAGCAAUUAUCAGGUUUAUAUAAUUGGAGGAGAUGGUACUCAGAAAGGAGCUGCUGCAAUCUACAAGGUAUGCCUGUAACUCUGCAAAUGAAAAGACCGUUGCAUUAUAACUUCUAGUGGAAGAGUGUCCAUGAUGAUUCACUUUCUUUGAAGGGGCUCUUAUAUGGCCUGCAUGAAGGAUAAUUGGCAUGAGAUGCAUAGGCCUCUUAGUUUGAGAGAGCACUGAGAUGCUACUUAGCAAUUGGUAUUUUGCUAUUUUGUGAUGUCUCUCCUAAUAAUCGUUAUAUGUCAUGCAGGAAGUUAGGCGUCGAGGUCUUAAAGUUGCUGUUGCUGGAAUUCCGAAAACAAUUGAUAAUGACAUUCCGGUAUUUGUGGUUUAAAAUGAUUAUGACAUGGAUGUUUUCUGGUUUCUCAUGCAAAAGUGCUUUAGUUUCUCCAUUUCUUGGGUGAUAAUUUGGUUGAUAAAGGAAAAAGUCAAAAUUUAAGUUACUAUAUUCUCCUGAGAAUGUUACAUAGGUUUUCUUGCUGAUCUUCCUUGAUGAUUAUUUGAACAGUCAAACUAAUUGUUUUUCUUGCUUAAUGCUUAAAUCAAUUCAUAAAUUCACCGAAUUAAUUAUCUGUCUGCAGAGGAGAAUAUGGAGAAACUUCAAACAGCAUUAUAAUCUCAAGCAUGCAUACUCAUAAAACUGGAAGCAAUGGAUGUUGUCAUGUUAAAUUAUUGUCUCAUUGACAUAUGAAAACCUUUAAUCUUUUAUUUUUUAAUGACUUAUUAUCUUGUCUUGUCAGGUCAUUGACAGGUCAUUUGGAUUUGAUACUGCUGUGGAAGAGGCUCAGCGAGCUAUCAAUGCUGCUCAUGUUGAAGCUGAAAGUGCAGAGAAUGGUAUUGGUGUAGUGAAGCUAAUGGGUCGAUACUGUGGUAAGGUUUCUUUAAUACCAACUCAACUUCACUUGUAAGAUGAGGAUAUUUACCAGUUAUGGGCAUCCAUCCUCCCUAGUUUUCCUGGAUUAGCAUGCCUAUUUCCUUUUCGCCUUGACUUCUUUCCCUGCACUUUAAAAUGGUGCUAAAUUGGACCUCUAGCUUGCAAAUUAGCUAAAGAAAUGUUAUUAACUGAAUUCGACCAAAAUAUUAAGUCUGCUUUAAGGCCUGAAGGAAAUUCUGUAAAAAUAAGGGUUAAUCAAGCAUUAUUUUCGUCUAAUUAUGAUAAAUGGUGAAAUGAGGUGAAAUUGCAGCCAUGGAAUUUUUAUGCGGCCCUUCUUUAUCAACUUUUUAAAUGCUUAUCACUGUUUCUCAUCCCUCGCUGGAUUUGUUUGAGAUUCUUGGAAUUGUAUGUGCAGGAUUCAUUGCACAGUAUGCCACUCUUGCCAGCCGAGAUGUCGAUUGCUGUUUGAUUCCAGAGUCACCCUUCUAUCUUGAAGGAAAGGGGGGACUUUUUGAGUUUGUUGAGAAAUGUUUGAAGGAAAAUGGACACAUGGUGAUUGUGAUUGCUGAAGGAGCAGGACAGGAGCUAUUAGCAGAAAGCGGGCAUGCCAACGAUGAACAGGAUGCUUCAGGAAACAAGUUACUCCAAGAUGUUGGUUUGUGGAUCUCACAAAAAAUUAAGGUAUCUGUUAUGAUCUUUGUAGAGGUUUUGUUGAAUCAUCUGGUUCUUUGCUGGUAUUGUUGGUCUGUGGUAUCUGAUUAGUAAUUGCUUCAUCCAUUACUAUAGCUGGUAGGCAUCCGUACAUGUUUGUUUCCGUUAAAAGUUGGUAUUCUUCUAACUGCAUUCAUUUGUUUUGCUGAUGCUAUUGAGUAGUAAAUCUGCUGACUAAAUGCCAAACCUCCUGUUGGUAAAACAUGUAUAUGAUUCUGCAAAUCUUCUGUGGCAAUCCUAUCCUCCUUCAGGGAAGAGCCCGAAUUGUAGUGACGUAUAACAGUGGAAGAACUGCUUAGUUUGGCAACUAAUCUUGUCUUUCUUUUUCUAGGAUUAUUUUGCUAAGCAACGUAAAAUGGCUAUCACCCUUAAAUAUAUUGGUGAGUAACUUUGUCCUCACAUCUGAUCAGUUGUGAAACAUUUUAAAGAUUGGGAGCUAACAAAUAAAUUGGCAGAUCCAACUUACAUGAUUCGAGCUAUUCCUAGCAAUGCAUCUGACAAUGUGUAUUGCACACUCCUUGCUCAAAGUGCUGUACAUGGAGCAAUGGCAGGAUACACGGGCUUCACUAGUGGACUUGUUCAUGGUCGGCACACGUAUAUUCCUUUCAAUGUAAGUCCCUCAGUACCAUUAAGCAUCUUGUUAUUAUGCUUAGAAGUCUUUCUACCUGUGGCUGCAAUUUAAAGAUGUUCUUCUAUGACUUUGCAUCUACAGUGGGUACUGUACGAUACAAAUACGCUACUUUUUGAGUAUAAUCCCUUUCUAAGUCCUCCAAACCAAAUUUCUAGAGUAUUUGUGGUCUGGCUGAACAAAUACGAAAAGCUACCUUGCUAUGUAUGAUCUUGUUCUUUCUUAUGUGUUGAAUAAUAUGUUUCAUGAUUCAGCGCAUCAUUGAGACACAAAACAAGGUUGUGAUAACCGACAGAAUGUGGGCUCGACUUCUUUCUUCGACCAACCAGCCAAGCUUCUUGGGUCCUAACGCUAUUGUUGAAGCCAAAAAAGAGGAAGCACCGGAAACCCAGUUAUUGGAUGAUGAUGGAGCGAAUUCAGGUAAUGGUGACACGGGUAAUCAUAAAAUAGAAGCACGUGACACUUGAAAAACUCUCCUCUUUCCCCCAGUUUGCCAAUGCAAUUGCUCUCCCUGCCACCUUUGCAUCUGAUGCCAUAUUUUGGAGUAAUUUCUGAUUAAUCGGAUCGUGUAGGAAUCAACAUCGAUGGUCUCUUAAGAUGCCUCCGCUGCAGUUAGUGACUUUGUAAUACCCCAAAAGUUUUGUCUAGCGGAGACUGUGUGCCAGUGAAAUAUGGCAAAACAUUCUGUUGCUUUUUGAGGCCUUGAUUCUUUGUAUGUGUAAUCAGCUAUCGGAAGGGAAAGUGAGUCCACCUCUGAGUUGCAGCUUGAAUAGUCUUUAAGCUUUUGACUCCAAGAGCCCUUUCCCCCUUUCAGAAAUAAAGUAGAGGUUUUCUAAUAUACACUCCUCUCUCCGUGCCGAUGACAUGCUAUUGUGAUUUGUGAGAGGGAGAGACUCGGGGAAGGUUCCGAUACCUUUUUUCCCAGUUUCUAUUGUUAAAUGCAGCUAUAAAAGCCCGGAAUAUUACAAACAAGUCCCAUUAACCUCCUGUAUAAUUGCUCUCCAUGCAAAAGAAUAAACAAAAAAGAAUGUGGGCAGAGGGAUGGUUGAUUAAGAAGUCAUCCGUACACCUGUGAUGGUAACUAGAAAACUUCAAUAAAAAUAAAAAGAAAAUUCUUUUGGCAGCAAAAGAUUUCCCAAAAUCUUCCCGUUUAUCUUCUGUUUUGUCGUCCUGUUAAGAAGGGAAGGCUUGUGGCUUUUGGAAUGGUGAACCGUGCUUCGCAAUGAGCGGGUUGCAUUUAAUGGGUAUCAAUGGGUGUCUGGUAGGUCCUGUGCAGGUUCUUCUGGUCACCGCAGCAUCUUCUGCAAACUCAUCUUCACCAUCCCUCUUUUAUGCGCAACCGACUGCUGAUAAUUCUGCCACCGCUAGGACUAGAUUUAGUGAUGAGAUGACCAGAGAAGCCAGUAUGGCUGGCUGAGGAUUUUGUGCAAUCAUCAACGCCUGACACCUACCGUAAAUGAUCCACUGCCUAUCUUAUCGCAUCCUCCGGUAUGUAUCAACAGUUCCAUCGCAAGCAGCUCCAUUACAACGUGAUGUCCAACCAAAUCAAUCUGCUCCACCAUUCCUUUAUCAUCCUUAUCAAGGAAGCUUCUCUCUGUUCUUUGGUUGUCUACUUGGAGAGAGUGCAGGCAGCAGCAGGGUGACAGUAAGAGCAUCCACAAUGCUAUUACACUUUGUGGAGUGUAAUCCACAUGCCACGUCAGCAUUCCACUUUCUCCUCUUUUAUUACACUUUCACUCACAAUGGAUUACACUCCACAAGGUGUAAUAGCAUGGGUCCACAAUUAAUCAAAUAUUUAUUUUAAUAAUGCAUAACUCAUAUCCCAUAAAUAAAUAAAGUAAUUUUUAAAACUAAUUUUGUUAUUUUUAAAAAAUAAAGUACUAACUUUCGUUAAAUUUUGUACAUUUUGAAUUUUUUUAUUUUCUAAAAAUGAUAUUAUUAAUUUUUAAGUUUGAAUAAUAUAUCUUUUUCUAUGUUUCAAAAAUAAUAUAUUGUUAUUUUUUAAAAAAUAAUUAUGUAGGAAAUUAAACAAAUAUUUGAUACUUCAAAUGCGAAGAUAUCAUAAUAAUCCAUACUUAAUUAAUAAUUCGGAAUGUAAUUAGUUGAACUCCAUAACAUAAUAUUACAUAAGUUAAAUCAAAUAAAAUACAAAUAAUAACAAAAUGAAAGGAAAUUUGGGUGCCGUUGGAAAGGAAAUAUUGGGUGCCGUUGGAAAUGCUGAAAUUGUACCGUUGCCUAAGCCCACAUUCUGAGAAUUACACGCAUCAUACAUGUGAUGCGUGUAAUCUCCGUGACACGGCUCCAAUGGAGUGGUGUAACGGGGGUGUAUUACACCCCCCAUUGUGGAUUACACUCCAUUGCUAGUCACUUUUUUAAGGCUUUGAAGAAGUCAUCAUUUCAGUGGUAAAAUUUAAGACGACAAAGAUAUCAUGAACAAUUGAACAUGCUAGAGAGAAAUUGUUCCCUAAUCUUUAUCUUUGUCUGGGGUGGUCUUUCCAUCCACCUUAGUUACGGAUAUAUUGGUUAAAUAAAUAUUUCACUUGUUUUUCAUCAUUGUUUAUUAUUAUUAUUAUUAUUAUUAUUAUUUACCCUCCCUCCCCAUGUCUUCUUACUCUCAAGUGCUUGACCUAAGAUUUGAUCUAAACCUAGUACCAGAGAGAACUCGUCAUUGUUAAUUAAUCAUAUCAAUGAAUAACUUCAAUAAUUUUUAAAAAUGGGUUUUAUAAAUUAGUUAAAAUACAAUCACCACACAUGUUUUAAAAUGCAAUAUGAAAUUAAAUGAAACUGGAAUAUAUAUGAGUAAGUUUUUUAUACACCAUCAGUGUGUAAUUUUUAUUACAUUAACAAAUUUAGAUCAUGCCACAUAAUAUACAUUUAAAUUUGAAAUUCAAAUGGCAUACAUCCAUAAUUGCUAAUAUUAAAAAAUCAUUAUACUAUGAUUACAUAAAAAGCUAAUCCAAUAUAUUAUAUCCUUACCACUAGAUAGGAUUCCCUCGUUUGGCCACUAAACUUUAUAUUUAGGCAAAAUGGUCCUUCAACUAAUUAGAACAUACAUUUUAUGGCCACAAAGUGUAUGUUUUCAUUAAUUGAGUGGCUAACAGUGAAAAUUCUAUUUAGUUGAGUGACAAAAAAUAUACUCUUUUAUUUGUUAAAUGACCAUUUUGGCUAAACAAAAAGUUUAGUACAAGUUUUUGCCAUUUGCUCUCAAUUUAAUCUUAUAGCAGGUAUUACUUAAUAUGGUGCCCAGAUCUUGAUUGCCGUUUGAUUCUGUAGCAUUAAUCUUAUGCUACAUGGUCGAUUGUCUUAUGGCUACAGAAGUGACUAGAUACAGCCUUCUUCACUUGGAAAUAGACAUUUACUACCGCAUGAAUGGCAAGUAAUGACAUUCAUGUGUAUGCUUCAAGUGUAUGCUUAAUGGCAAAGUAAUGAGAAGAAAAUACUAAAGAAACCUUUUCAAACUGAGAUUCUUCAUAUACUUGUUUGAACUGAUCGGAGUCACUCUAUCAUUCACUCCAUCUUCCAUUUUAGAGCAUCUGACCAUUUUACACAUUAGAAUUGCAGCUAUAAGAAUGAUAAGAAAUGACACGAAACAUAAGAAAGAAACCGCCUGAACUGAGACAGUUAUACACUUGGACUAAUCGGAGUCACUGUAGAAUUCACUCCAUCUUCCAUUUUACAGCAAUUGACCAUUUUACACAUUAGAACUGCAGCUAAAAGAAUAAUAAGAAUACAGUACAGAUUUAACCCCUAUAUAUGCCUGACGGUUCUGCGUUUUGUACAAUCCAGGGAUGCUCAAGCAACUUGUGUAGUGGAAGCCUCUGUGAAGAAUCCUUGACAAGCAUCUGUUCAUACAAAUAAGAAAACAUCAAAUCAGGUAAAACCCUCAACAUCUUUUUCGUUGAAGAGUUGGGGUAUUCUAGACAACUAGACCUGGCUAAUUAGGUCCUUGGCUGAUGCUGAUACAACAGGUUUUGGAGGGAACUUCAAGUCGACUUGGACUAUCCUGUACAUGUUAGAAAUUUAAGAAAGCAUCAGCAAUUGAGUCAAACCUCAAGAGCUCCCUCAAUAAUUUACAUCUAUUGCAGGAUAUUUGUGAAACAUGUAAGUAAAGCUGAUAUCAGCAUCAAUGACAUUGCUAUCAAAAUUAUAGUGUCUUUCUCAGUUUCUUAAAGAAUAUAAAGACAACAACCUCCUAAAAGAUUAACAUCAAAUAUCCUUUUUUGAAGAUCAAUUUACCUUCUAUAAGUAUCAGAAUGUUCCUUUGCCUCAAAAGGAGGAACCCCAUACAGAAACUCAUAGCAUAGGACACCAAGGCUCCAGAUAUCCACAUUUGCGUCAUGCUCCACACUUUCCACUGUAUAAUUAUGGAUGCAAUACAGUCAAUUUUUUAAUUAAAAGUCAAAACAACUAAAACCAUGCUGGAUAAUCUAAUCCAUUACGAGGUAUUCUUCUCUAGAAGCAUUUCAGACUAUCCACUUUCCUAUCUUAUCAUACAACCCAGUUAGGUAACCAAAAUGUUAACAAGGAUCUGUAAAAUAUCAGUGUGUAAAAGAUCAGCAACGUGCAAGAGUCCAGUACAAUUACAACAGCGGUGAAAAUGAAAUUGAUAUACCUGUCAGAGGUGAUAAAGAAUGUAGAAUUAUUUAAUCAUUACAUGGAGGUAUACUAGGUGUUCAGAGUAUUUAAUCCAAUAAUAGUUAAGGAACUCAAAAGUGUUGACAAGGAUCUAUAGAAUAUGAAUGUCUAAAGUAUCAGCAACACAACAUUAUCAUACAGUUAUAUCCAUGAUGAAAUUGAAACUGACAUACCCAUCUCAGGUGGUAGAUAAUCUAAAGUGCCACACAUGGUACGCCGGCGAUUGAACGUGUGCACUGACCAACCAAAAUCUGCUAUCUUGAGUUCACCCUGGCAGAUUCAGAUGAUAAUUGUAUAAACAGAGAUUCCACCAAUUCAUCACCAGAUGGAAGACUAAUAGGACAAGGUUUGAGUAUUCACCUGUGCGCCAACCAGAAGGUUCUCUGGUUUAAUAUCUCGAUGAAUUACAUGCUUUCCAUGACAAUAGAUGAGGGCCCGAGCAAGCGAUGCAACAUACUGGUUCAUUUUCCACAAGAAACCAAAGUAUUUAUUCAGUACAAGAUUUAAAACAGAACAGAAUAAAACUUAAAAAAUGGACUGUAAAACUCAAUUUGAUUGGAAACCAAAACAAAGGAGAAAAAGGUCUAAGAUGAAUUUCAAACUUGAAAAUCCCUGCUGAUAAUAGAAACAUAAAAGACGGACUCACAGUAGCUGCCCGCCUUUCACUGAAAUAUUUACAUUUCUGCAACUCCUUGUAGAGCUCACCCUUAGCAGCAUACUCCAGAAUCAAAUAAACUCGUUUCUGCAAUAGUUCUUAAACAAAUUAACCUUCUGUUCAAUUUCCACCUGAAACAAAAUGUUCUCAAGAGUGAAUUGUACCUGAUCAUAGAAGUAGCCAUAUAGUCUUAGAAUAUUGGGAUGCCGAAGGUGACUCUGUAUUUCAACUUCACGGCGGAGCUGGUGUUCAACUUGAGAUUGUUUCAGCUGGCUUUUGAAUAGUACCUUCAGUGCCACAAUAUGAUUGCUCUGUUUGAAUUCCAGGAAAAAAGAAAAAGAAAAAGAGGGUUAUGAUAUUAAACUGUAAUGGAUUCUAGAUACUCAAACGAACACACCCAGAAGCCAUUUGUUUUCCUCUUUUCCCCUUGUCAUCAAUAAAAUAUACGAAUGACAGCAGGACAAAACAUAAUUAUGGUGCAAAAACAGAAGCACAGCUAAUCCGAUACUGACUCAGACAUGUAACAACUUAUUAAAGGUUAAAGCAUCUGAAAUGCAACUUUAUGCGUUCUCUAAUAAAGAUCAGUAAGUUACCCAUGUUUAAAUAAAACCGAAAGCAUCAGCAACUCACCCUCUUUUCCCUAGCAAGAUAUACAUGACCAAACUUUCCUCUGCCUAGAGGCUUCCCAAUGUCGAAGUCAUUCAAAGUCCACCUCUUUUUCUCCACUGCUGUCGAUCCCUCUGAAGAACCCUACCAAAAAAAAAACAAAAAACAAAAAACUUCAAAAACUAACCAGCGAAAAGGACAUUGAAACCCCCAAAAGAAUCCAAUUUGGUAAACACAUUCUCUUUGCCUUGAACGUCAUCGUAAUGUUCUAAUUUCAAGUCGAUCGCCAAUGAACCCUAAUUUCCACAGAGCUACAGUAGUUUAAAUUCCCCAAAAAAAAAAAGAGAAAUCAAGAUCCAUUUUUUUUAUUCGACGGACCUUGCAUUUUCAUCAAAUACAUACACGAACAGGAAUUAAAGAACACCUAGAAAUCCACAUGAAAAUAAUAGGAGACUGGAACUACAAAAAUGUUUACGAAAAAUGGAAAAAAUAAAAAGAGAGAGAGAGAAAUUUGCUUCCGAAGCUGUUUGAACUAAACCUAGGUUUAGGCGAUACAAUCAAUAAACCUUUGUUCAUACCAUAACCAAAGCACCAAAUUAGUCCAAGAAUAUCCUACAACCAAAUCCCUAACUUCAUGAGCCCUUAUAAAAGCAAAAAAUAACACAUUCACAAAUCUCGUGCAAAAAUUCCCAAAUGCGGAUUCAGAUUUCCAAGAAGGAACCAAAAAAAAAAUUUGCUGUUUACUGAUUCUCAAUUCUUUUUAGACAAAAAGAAAAAAUUUUUACCUUGUGCUCUUGCUGAGCCUCAGUGGCGAUCGCCAUAUGAGAGAGAGGAAGCGAAAAGAAUGGAAAAAAUUGCAGAGAUUGGAAAGAAAAGAGAGAGAAAGAAAGGGGCGGAGGCGGACGAAUUCAGGAGAAAUCAAUUGUGGAUGAAUUUUAUUUUUGAAUCUGGAGAGAUCUCCAACGGUCAUAUCUACGUUGAUAGCACGUGGCUAAUGACUAUCCCCUUUUUUUUUCUAAUUUCUUUUUGUUUUUCUUGUUUUCAGCUUUGAGUUUUAGAUUUUGUUUUUAUUAGGGAAGGAGCCGGGGAGCGUCUCGGUUCAUUAUUGACUUUGGCAGUUUGCGGGUCUCAACUCCCAACGCAUUUUAUUUGCUCUAAUUUCAUUUGUUUCUUUUUUUCCCCUUUUUCUAAUGAAUUGAUUUUCUUAAGGCCAUACUAAUGAUAAAAUGAAUUCAAAUAAUAAUUAGUUUCUUUAAAUUGGUCAGUUUGUCCAAAAUAGCUUUUCGUUUCAUCAUUGAAUAUAUUUUAUAAUUAUUUCUUUAUAUUUUCAAUCUUUUUUUUUAAUUUCAAAUACAUUAAACAAAAAAAGUCUUACAGUAUAAUUCUAUUUUUUUUUUCUAAAUAAUCUUCUAUUCGAAUAAAUCCAUGUUCUCUCUUGAUUUCCUUGACAAAAAAAUGGUGUGACUUUUUGGGCUGCCAUAUCUUAUCUUUUUGGUGUCAUUUGUUUCUUCUAAUGUAAAGAUUUUAAUGGUGCAAAAAAUAUAAUAAGACUAAAGAUUAAUGUGGCAAAGCUUCAACACUUGAGAGUUGAGAAGACAGUAGUGUAUAUCUAUUAGUUUUUUUUUUUUUUUUGGCACUCAUACACUCCUCAAAAGCAUAGGAAUAAGACUAGAUAUCAAUUUGGCAAAACUUCAACACUUGAGAAGACGCUGUAUUCAUUUUCCCGUUGAGGAUUUAGACAUUGAGAAAAUUGCAUUUUGGUAUCAAAUAUUGAGGGUAUUAUUUUUAAGGGAAAAUCGUUCAAAACAUCCCUCACAUUUUCCAAAAUAACUUUUUUCGUCACUCAUUUUUAAAAAUAUAAUUUUACGUCCCUUACAUAUUCACAUUGGUCAAAUUUGGUUCCUACUUAGGUUUCCGACUAAUUUUUUGUCGGAAUUUACCACGUGCCUUGCACGUGAUCAUAUUUUAAGGGCAAAAUUGUCAAAUCAAAUUUUAUAUAAUUCGAUUUAUAAUCCCUCACAUUUCAUAAAACACAUUUUUUCGUCCCUUACAUUUCACAAAAUAAACUUUUUUCAUCAUUCACAUUUUUUAAAAUGAAUUUUUUCAUCUUUUAUUGAUCAUGUGUGUGAAUAAUUUUUUUUAAAUUUAUGUAUAUAUCUAUUUGAUUUCACCUAAAUAGUACGAAUAGCAUGUGAAAUCAAAUAGAGAUAUAUUACAUACUAUUCGUACUGCUUAAGUGAAAUCAAAUAAAUAUAUAUAUGGGUUUAAAAAAAUUAUUAGUUUUUCACUUAUAUUCAUUUUCUUUUACUCGAAAUUUGAAAAUAAAGAAGACAUUUAAUCCUAAAUAUUAUCGAGUGUUUAUAUCGAAUUAAAUUUGGACAGAAAAAAUAAACAAAAGAAAAGUAUGAACAAAAAGAAAUAAGUGAUUGGCAUUUUCAAAUUUUAAGACAAUCAUAAGGCAAGUAAUUCAACUGUUGGUCUUAAAAGUGUCGAGUAGAAAUUUCAUAUUUAAACUGAAAUUUGUUAGUACAAUUAUAGAAUUCGAGUUAGGACCCAUUAAUUAGAUGACCUUAUUAUACAAUUCAAUAAAUAAAUUAUUACCAAAAGAGAAAUAUCACAAAUAUUAAAUAGGUUCAAAUGAUGAAAUCAUAUAAAUAUAGAUAUCGGUUUCAAACAAAAUUAUUAGUUUUAAACCCAUAUAUAUAUCUAUUGAAUAGCAUGUGUAUAACUAUGAUUAGCAUGUUUAGAUGAAAUCCAAUAGAGAUAAAUUACAUGUUAUUCAUAUUGUUCAGGUAAAAUCAAAUCGACAUAUACGGGGGUUUAUAGAAAAAAAGCUAUUCAUACACAUGAUCAAUGAGGGAUGAAAAAAUUCAUUUUGAAAAAUGUGAGGGAUGGAAAAUUCAUUUUUUGAAAUGUGAGGAACGAAACAAUUCAUUUUGUAAAAUGUUAGGGACGAAAAAAUUCAUUUUGUGAAAUAUGAGGGACUAUGAAUCAAAUUACGUAAAAAUUUAAUUUGACAAUUUUGCCCUACAUGCAAGUCACGUGGUGGAUUCCAGCAAAAAACAAGUCAGAAACCUAGGUAGAGACCAAAUUUGAUCAAUGUGAAUUUGUAAGGAACGUAAAAUUAUACUUUUAAAAGUGAGGGAUGAAAAAAGUCAUCUUGUAAAAUGUGAUGAACGUUUAGAACGAUUUUCCCUAUUUUUAAAGUUUGGACAAAAGCAAAUAUAAGUUUUCCGUAUUUCAAUUUCUAAAUACAUUUAAUCCAAUUGACUGGUUUUGACAAAUUAUUACUGGAAUUCGAUCAGUAGCAAGUACCAAUGGCUAAAUUUUGAAAAAAAUUAGAAAAAAGAAAAAAAAAUUGUUGGCCAUAAUUUGUAAUCAAAGGACACUAAUUAGUUGCAAGCUGAGUAAUUAGUGUUUACUCUUUAGCGACAUGACUUCUGUGCAUGUGCAAAAUUAGUGUCAUUUAAUUACAGAUUAUGGGUUACAAACAUUUUUUCCUUUCUUUUCUAUUUUUUUUUCAUAAUUUAACCAUUGACAUGUGCUAUUUAUGUGACCGAAUUUUAGUAAAAAUUUACCAAAAUCAAUUAAUUAGACUAAAUAUGCUUAAAAAUUGAAACAUUUAGAACUAGAUUUGCUUUUGUUCAAAUUUUAAGGACUAAAAUCAACUGUACCUCAAACAUUUGGUAUCAAAACUACAAUUUUCUUUGUAGACAUCAAUAGGAUACCCUCCAUGCAUUGUUUUGAAACCCGGGUUGGACUGAUUUGACUGCAUAUUAAUCAUGUUCGCGGUUUGAUUCAUAUUUUGGGUUAAUUGGAUUUAAGAUCCGGUGAAAACCGUGCGAAUCGAAAUGAACCAUUGAACUAGUAACAGUUUAUUUUUUUCUGUUAAACUGAAAAACAAAGAAAAAAAUUCUCUUUAAUCCUAUAGACUAAUUACAAAGUGCCUCAAUCACUCACAUUCUUUUUACCUUUUGUCUCGUAUCAAGUAUUCAUUUCUCUAUUUUCUAGUUUCUUUAGUACCAGGUUUCAAAGAAGAAAGAGAUGGGUACUUUCCACCUCCCUGCGAUUCAGUAGCAGACCGUGUAAUAGAAGCAAAUACAAUCAGAAUCUUAAAGUUCACAACAAAUGUAACAUUUAAAACAAAUAAAAAAACUUCACUGGGUAAUUUUCAAAAUAUGGUCUAAAUAGGAAACACAUUUGAAAGGUUAUAUGGACUAAUUUGCAACAUUGAGAACAAGAAUACAAUCCAGCAAGAAAAAAUGAGCAAGUUCUAAAACCAAAAAACAUGUACUGUAGAUGCCGACAAUGAAACUGAAGUACUUUUAGCUUUACAAUAGUUUAAAUAUAAAAAAUCACUGUUAUUCAAGCAAAACAUACAUUUUACUCAAACUCUGUUAAUGAAAAUUUCUGUAAAUAUAACUAUCAGGUUAAUGCAUAAUUCUUACCCAAGAUCAACACACAAAACUAACUCCAAUGCUGCUGCAAGUAAAAUACCUAAUUCCUAAUGGGAGAAAAGUCCUAGGAUGUACACAAUGAACCAAACAAACUAUGACUAGAAAAACAGGUUGAGUUCAGCAAUAUGUUUAAGCAUCCUGUGCAGCAGGAAAAUCUGACAAGACCCCUUUCUUCAUUCAGCUAUAUGGAGACUACAGAUUUCCUGGAAGGAACACUUAAUGCUUGGGUAACCAUCUCCCAAAUUUACAAAGUAUAUCCAUUAAAGUAUUAAUUGUCUCAUGUGAUGUUUCUAACAGUACACACAAUUGCUUAGAUUAGUCUCCAAAGUGAGACAAUCACAAUUUGAACUCAAUUAAAUACCAAGAAGCUAAGAGCCAAGAAAACCAGUUAUGCCCACAAGUCAGAAUUCAAAUACUGUCAUCAUUUUUUGACAGCAUGCUUCCAAUUUGGUUAGACAAAAUUUGAAAUUUUUAACGCAGUAUGACCUUCUGGUUCCUGUUGGCUCAUUUUUUAAAUAAAAAUGAAAGAGUUUCCCAAAGUGCUACAACAUCAACAUUUGGACCAAAGACAGUCCACUUUAGAGAGAUGAGCUGACCUAAAAUGCCACCACCAGCAUUUGCACUAGUUAGGCUUUCAUUUCCACUCCCACUUCCCAGCUCACAAGGUAAAUUAGUAUCCCCAUAUGACAUACCCCCUCAAUGCAGCUAUUAUUGAAGCAUCCCAUUCCACCUCUACCACCAUGCCCACCACCACUGCCAAUACCACUAUCUGAAAAUGUCCCUUGUCCCACACCUCCAAUGCAACCUGAGGAACAAAAAACAUCACUGGUAAGGCCCUGGAACAAUAAUAAACCACAUGUAUGCCAAAUUCGCAAGGUUUUGAAAACAGAUUCAUUUUCAUGCUAAAUACAGAUGACGAAGGGCCACGCCAAUCACACUCAAAUGUUAAAUAAUGGCCACCUGAUGGCAAGGUAGGAGAUACACUUUGAAUAUGGUAAUUAAAAAGGAACUCAGAUGCAAUUAUACCCAUCCCAGUUGUGCUUAUUGUUCCAGAAGAAGGAACACUAAUAGUUCUGGCUCUAUGGAAAUGAACAACAGAUCCUAUCACGAGGCCUUCAACAAGGAUAUCUUCAACUCGGCAAAUCUGCAGAGACAAACCAACUUGAGACCUCACGGAAGUGAAAAGAACUAUAUCCCAAUAGAAUGCAGAACAAGAAAAACUCCACCUGAAGAGUGAAAGACAGUGAAGAGUUCACAUUGCAAUCUUCGGGUGGAUGGAGGAGUUCAACUGGACAAUCAUUCUGAUCACAAUGCAACUUUGGUGUCCUAUAAAAGAACAACACAAAUAUAGAUUAAAAUAGUUGCAUAUUUGAGAUAUUAUGCAACAAUUAUUCAACUUACACAGCUUCAGUUGAGGCAUUCUCUAAAGGACCACGUAAAACAGAUCCAGGACCAACCUGUAUCCAGAAACAGAAAAGUCAAAGGAGUCAACUGAUAUUGUAUAAAGUAUUUUGUACACACUUCUGGAAAAAACUACAAUGCAACUUUAGAGUUAAGCACAGAUAUUAGCAGUAUAUAAUAGUUUAACCAAAAAAAAGAGCAAUGCAUCCUUCAACUUACUUUGAUUGUGCAUAAUUAUGCAAGAGUAGAAACCUUUUUGUAGUCAAACACGUAUUUAAGCGAGAGAGCAUAGUCACAUAGAUAGAUGUUUGCAUGCAUGUGUUUAUACACAAACGCAUGAGAGAGAGAGAGAGAGAAAACUAACAAAAUAGCAUACAAUUCCAACUUUGACUAAACCAGGGAAAAGAGUAGAAUAGCAACCUGAAAGGCUUAAAACCAAACAAAUGAGCCACGCAGUAUUUGGAUCUAACCAAACAUCUUGUUCUCACCAUAGGCACUACUUUUUUUUUAAAUAACUUUACGUAAAACCAUCCAACAUAUUCAAUCUCAUGGAUGCUGAAGGUAAUGAAUGAAUAGAAAUAUCAUGCCACAAAUUGCUUACAUGUAUACUAUAAAACAACGACAAAACCAGGCGUUCUGCUUCAAUGCAAUCUCCUGGUCCAGACAAAUUUAACAAACCUUGCCCGUGCACCCCUAGAUUAGCAUUGGAGUGAAUAAUAGAUGACUCCUGUUAUGGAAGCCAGGAAGAGGGAAAUUAAGAAAAGGUCAAACAAGUCAUGAGGAUCCAAAGCAAGACGGCAUACCAGUAAACUGAAGUAGAAUAACUAGAGCACCUUAAGAACAAUAAGAUUACUAGCUUCAAGCAUUGAGGUUUCAACAUUUUCAUCUCCUUCACCAUCAAUUAGCAUUCUCGAAUUCCACAUCAGAAACAUUUUAACAGACAUACGAGAGCCCCAAAAACCUGAAAGGCCAAAAAAAGGCGAUCAUACAAGGCUACCUACCAAAUUAAAUAAAAGUAUUCUAGCGAGAUCAAAUUGCAAAAAGAAUAUGGCCAUGUCAACCUACAAGAGGCCACUGCAAACAAUGCAUAAAAACUUCUGUAUUCAAGAAUAAUGAAAAAAACCAAAUUGUUAAAACAAAAAACCCAUGUUAAGAGCACAUCUAGAAUGAAUUGUACUACUCCAUCCACAUUUAUUUUGUCAUGGUUAUGAUUUUUUUCUGUUGCAUAGUCACUCUGUAAUGAUCUGAAACACAAGUAAAUAACCAUUUACCUAUAUAGACUUCCUUCAAGAUUUCUGCAGUGAAGAUCAUGAGAAAUAAACAAACACAUACUUGAGGCUUAAUUAUGAAAAAUCACUUUUCCAACUAUUUUAUCUUCAUCAAACAUAAAUUUUCCUUACUCUGUACCCAAUCAUCACCGUGACCAUAAAAUGGGUCAGCCAGUGCUUCAUCCAUCCAACUUGGAUGUCUACUUAGAGUUUUAGGACUGUCCUUGACUUAGUUUGCACAACUAAAGAUGGGGACUACCUAAAGCUUCCUCAAGAGGGCCUAUAUGAAAUAUCACAACUCCACAUAGAACUGGUAGACUGCAGCAUGUCCUGCAAUAGAGCUUGAAACGAAAAACAUGGACAAGAAUUCAUGCUGCAUUAAGUGCACAGAAUUUUAUAACUGCAUGCACCCGCUAAGUCUACAAGAACUUUAAACCAGUAGAAACACGACCACACAGAGAGAAAAAUGAGAAUAUAUGUCUAAAAACAACAGAUAAAGGGAGAAAAGUAGAGGAACAUGCUUCCAAAAAAUUAAUUGCAGGAGAAUCAUUUGAAACACACCAUCUCAUCAUAUCAGUAUGAUACAACAAAGAAAACAUAAAAUGUUGCCAGUAUCCAAUGAAAAAGAAAAAGGUUACCGCUACCUUAAUAACAGAAUCACUCAUUAACAGUUCUUCUGCCAAUAUUUCAAAUUCUGACAUAGAAUAAUGUGCCAAUCCAAAGCUCAGUUCUCCACCAGACAAGAGGCUAAUUUGCCCUUGGACCUAAGACAUAAGAAUUACAGAUACAUCAAGUACUUGAAUAAUUCAAUGGAAAAAAGCAGAAUAAUGUACUGAAUAUCCACUGACAGUCAAUGCAUUAGCUUCAAUUCCAAAAGCUAAUAAUAACUGAAAAUAAUCAUAUCUGCAGAUAUAGUAAGGCACACAUGGCCAAGGACACAAAUAGCAGAACAACAUACAAAAUAUCCAAUGAGAGAACCAAUACAUUACAUUAGUUCCAAAGUAUAUAAUAGUUGAAAGUAUUCAGAUCUGCUAACACAGAAGGCACAUCACAAACAGAACAAGGCACGCAUAGGCAUGGACAUCGCUAGUGCUUGAUUUGACUUUCCACUUUUAUUUGAUGUCAAUUUGUCUCCUUAUUAUCCAAAAGAGUUUUAAGAUAAAUCUGAACAAAUAAAUAGGUUCUGACUAUGUCACUAAGAAAGUAAGAAAGACUAAAUUUAUAGACCUGAACACGACUCCAAAGCAAGGGAACAGAGGCCUUGGCCUGAUUUUGGAUGUAGAUAUUUGUCAAAAAUGGUUGAGGAAAGUCCAAAAGAAGUGUGUCUGUAUCUGUAGAUUUGUUGUAAUUGUCAAUAGUAAGACUGCGCGGAACAGCAUCAUAAAUGCUCCCCGCUGCACCAGCGUUUUCUUGGCAGCCACGACUGCUUCCUCCUGUAAGAACAGAAAUUAACUCAGCAUGCACACUAAAUCCACAUUCCACAUUUAAAGCUGGGUAAAUUUAAGGCAAUAACCAGCAAAUUAUUGUACUCAUUUGAUGUUUUAGAUCAAAACAGGAACAAACUCUCAUCCACUUGUUAUCCUAUUCAAGGCAUAGCCCAGGCUGAUGAUGACAUAUCCAAGCAAGGCCAAUUCUAAGAGACCAGAGAAUGUACAGUAGAUUACAACCAGACCACGGAAGACCAUUGCUUUCAAAAAAGCCCGAAAUAAGCUACCAACAAACAGGUUAGUAGUAUAUGCAACAAAAAUUAUUCCCAAAAAAAGGAGAGAGAGUCUAUGAUAAUCCCUCAAGCUAUGUUACUUGGACUCGGCUACUGACUCCUGCCGACAUGGUUACUCUGGUGCAAAAUGAUGAGUCAGAUAGGGUACAGCAGGGAAAAGUGAAGAGUCUGAGUAACAUAGCCCCCCAGCCUCGUUACCUCAUCAAUUUUAUGACAAAACUUCCCAACAGAUUAAUUUGGCUAUACAAAAGUUCCAAUGAAAUGAACCCCUUCUCUAAUCUCUUUUCACCUCUCACAAAUAUAGACUUGUCAUCUCUGGUAAAUACUAGAUGGCCAUAUGUGUAGAAACCUGUUGCUGUCAACAAAUAGGAUGAAGAAAAAGCCUCCCCAAUUGCUCCCUUUUUAGGGUUUACCACAACGGAUAUAAGCAAAAUAUGGAGCUAUAAACAAAUAUAUCACAGGUUCAACCUUCAAUAAUGCCCUUCAAGCAUUCAAUUUAUCCUGAGCUUCAACUCUAAAUUAUAGUACAGAAAAAGCCAACAGGAUCCAAUUUAGAUAAUUAAGACAGAAAUAAAAGCCCCGCGUUUAGAAAAAAGCAACUAAGGAUAGAAAGAUCUGCAACAUUAUUAUUACAGAGGUGAGUAGCAUAAAAAGGAGACUGAUUAUCUAGCAAUCAAAAAAGUGGACAUCAGAAGAAAAGUCAAAUUGCAGAUAUAGUAUUUUCCAGCACUGAAAGAACUAAUGAAACUUCAAACAAUUAUGGAUAAAGAGCAAUAUCAUGUUUGGCUUACAGCUUGGAAAACUUUUACCACAAGAAAAUCAUAUUAUGAAUCAUACCAUAUGCAAAAAUUCCGGAUCCUCAUGGUGGCUAAAAACAUCAACAGAUACUCUUCCGCCACCUCCACCAGCAAAGCCAUUACCUCCACAUGCACUGAUAUAACCACUCCCAAUCCUAAACUUGCAAAAAUUGUUGUACUUUAGAAUAAAACUACAUUAUCAAUACUCAUGAGUACUAAAGGUGCUAAUAAAUUGAUUAUAACUCACAAAGAUAAGAAUAAUUUCAGAAACCAAUAGCAUAUAUGAGAAAGUAAUUGCAAAAAUUUUGGCUUGUGUCAUGACAGCUAAGCCACAAUCCUAUUAUUCCUAUUCAAUAAGUUGGACCCAAAAAAAAAAAAAAAAAGCAUCAGAGAACCAAUAAAAGAUUAUUAUUCAAUAGAAUGACAUUCUCCAGCAAAUAGACAAAAUUUUCGAUAAUUAUAUGCACAAAAGAACUUGUAAAAUGGAUAGAUAUGGACUGUGCACAAUUACAUGACAGAAACAGACCAUGUACAAUUCUAGAUUAUUAGUGAACUCAUCCACUCUUGAACAAGAAACAUUGUGCUUGAAACACUGAUCUAGAUCAUAUUAGCAUAUCCCUAGAACCAAAAAUCGUAUGUCAGGAACCAUGAAAUAUAAUGGGUGUUUGGAUUGCAAGACUUUCAAAUAAAAAUCUCAAAUUUUGUUUUGCUUGCAUCAUACACACAAUUUCCAACGACCUUUUUUAUCUCACAUACAUCACAUCACAAAAAUGCUACAGUAAUUAUUUCAAAUAACCUCCUAUCCAAACAAACCCAAUUUAUCACUACUGCAAUGCAACUGUUUAGCAGCCUUAUACAGUAACUAUAACAAGUAUUAGCAUCAACAAAGUCGUUUGAAGAUUAAGUUCUACUAGAAUUAGUAAAAACACAAAUAAAAUUGAAAAAAAUAGAACUAAGAUAAUAGGUAAAACUCAAAUUCUCAUUCGAAUUACACUCUGUUCAAAAAAGCAAUGGGUUUAUAGCAAAUUCUCAUUUCUCCAGGACGGACUCCAAAAAUACAAAGUAUUGCAAAAGACUCCAAACCCACUUCAUGACAGGCUGUCAGCUUGACUGGGGCAUUAGCUUAGUGUAGCUUUUGAAGGGAAGUUCCCCUCCCACAAAGAAAAUCCAGAUGCCUCCCUCUCUCCCCCUCUCAAAUAGUCUUCAGCAUGCAAUAGACCAAACCAAUUGAUACUAAUGCACAUAACAGGAGAGCUCCAUUGAUAUUUAGUAACAUGCAGAAUACAAAUUUCCAGUAUAAAGAAAAAGGACAAUAUAUAGCGAGAACUGAAAUGGAUUUGACAAGUGGCAAUAUAAGUUUUUGCAAUGUUGUCCAGAAAUCAACCAAGAACACCAGUUUCAUGGUUGAACGCUUAUAUCCAGCUAUUUACCAUGCACUCGCAAAGAACCUGCAUUAGAAGAAAUUACACUUUCCUGUGCAUAUUUCACAAUGUUCUCAAUAUCUGUUUUCCACUUUUAUAUGCUAAAAGGUAUUAAACCAUAAGUAACUUCUUUUAUUUUCUACCUUAGUAUUGGGAAUCUCUAUCCCUGAAGUUCAUCUACACGUGUAUGAUUUUUUCCACUUUUCCUUGCUCUAGUUCUUAUUAAUUUGGAGAUAACAUUUGUUAUUCAUUUUUGGGAGGGCAAAAAACCCAUAUGACCACUGCACCAAUCCUAUUCAAGAAAAAACCUUGUAAAACAAUCUCUCUACCAUCAGCAUUGCCCCAACCUAACAAAAUUCCUCAUUGUAAAUUGUAAAAAUCCAAAUCCCAGUGAAAUGCAGUAAAGGGGAACACCACAAAACUGGCCAAAAGCUUAAGCAGUUUAACAGCAGUUAGAUGCUUUCACACCACCUCAAAAACAAGACCCUAAAGUAUGUGUCAGGAUCAGUAAAAUUUCAAGGCUAUUAAUGUCAAGCUUAAGACCUAGCACUAAUCACAAUUGUCAAUUAAAAAAGACGAGACAUAGUUGACCAUUGAUACAUCGUUUUAGGUUGAUUACGACGCUACCAAUUAUGCGAACAACAUAACUUCCAAAUGGAUCUUUCAGCUUGCAAAACAAAGAUAUUUUAUGCAUGGCCUUAUUGUUUACCUACAUAAUACCUGAGCAGUUUAUUAAUGCGAUUUGUUGUUAAGCAAUGUUAUGUAUCCUAAAUGACUCUAGAAGAAUGAGGCUGUAAAUGAAAAUGCUUGGCAUUAAAACGUAUCAGCUCCGGUCCAAGCUUGUAACUGAGUAUUGGGUGCUUCUCAAUGGCUUCUGAUUUUCAGAAGCAAAAUCAGAAGGCAAAAAAACCUGCUAUGCUGCUUCCGAUUUUUCAGAUUUUUUGCCUCAAAAAAGGUGUGAACAGGUAUUGGAAAGCAAUUGAGAACUUUAAAAUAACAGCUUUUCCAGAAUCAAGAGCUAAAAUCAGGUAUUGAAAAUCAUUUUAGAACAAAUCACUGUCCUUUAGACAAGUCCAAUAAUAAAACUCAAAACAACCUCAAAAAAAAAAAUUGAUCUUAAAGUUGACUCCAAAAUGUUAACAAUUAUAAGCCCAUAGCUUUAGAGAGUUUAUAUUACAAAAAACCUUGCGUAGGUAAUCUCUGCUUAACUCUGCGGGUUUACACCUGUAAAGUGAAAAAACACAAAAGACGGAAACCUGACAAUAAUUCAAAGUCUUGCAAAGGAGGGAAAAGGAAUAAGGAAAAUGUACUGUCUGUCUGAAAACUGUAUUUAAGUGCUGGAAGUGAAUGAAUCGCAAGUUUUUACAUUCAUCCUGAGCAAUAUGAUACUUUUCCGAUCAAUUGAUACACUAAGCACCAGUUCUUUUUUUCCCACAAACCAAAAAAAAAAUCACUUAACUUUUUAAACAGAUAAAGCCAUGAAUGAAUUGUGAGUUUGUUAUAUUCAUCCAGUUCAACAUGAUACUUUUCCAAACAAAUAAUACAUAAAGAACCAGUUAUUUUUUUAUAGAAACAAAAGAGAAUACCACUUAAUUUGUUGAACUGUUUAACAGUCUAGCUUUUUGUCACUCGGUAUGUUUAAAAAAUAACUCAGACACACACACAACCUCCUCUCAUGCAGAAUGCCAAAAUAUCCCCUCUCAUACUGCCCCCAACACCCCCCCCAACCUUCUGUCUCUCAAAUACAAGAAAAAUUGUAUUAUGUUUCUGACAGUAUAUAUGACUGUUCAUCAGAACACCUUUGUUCUGAGGUCUAAUUAAAAUAAGUUCAUCAUAUGCUACUUAUUUACAUUUAUUAAUCAAAUAGCUUUCUCCUAUAAUAUUUGAUUACUCAUAUAUUAAUGGACCAACUAUGGCAUUCAAAAAGUAGAAGUCUAUUGAAAAAUAGAAAACUAAAUUAAAAGAAGAAGAAGAAGCAGAAGAAUAGCUAAUCAAGAGAUAAAAUAAACACUAACAAUCUAAAUGAAAAGUAACGAAUAGCUAAUCAAGAAGAUAAAAUAAACACUAACAAUCUAAAUGAAAAGUAACAUUUAAAGAGAAGCUAACUGGACGUCUCAAAGAAAAUUCACAUACAGCAAUCAUUCUUAAGUUAAAUUGAAGUAUUUGCCACAUUGAUUUCUCAACUUAGGCUGCCAUAUUGGUUAACAGAAGGUUAUGGUUUCAUUUUUAUCAGCAACUUGAACUGCCAGCAUUUAAAAUAACUUCCAGAUUCCAAUGUUUCAGCUUUUAACUUUAGGCAAGAAUAUAAGCAAGUUCUCUUAGCAAGCCUAUCAACCACUGCCAACUUGUUGGAUAGAGAUCAGCAUGCCAAGGUGUUUCCAAAAGAGAAAUGCCCCCUAACCACUUAAUGUUCUUCAUUUUACUUAAAAAGCCAAUAAUCUAGCAGAGAAACCAAAUAAGCCAGAAAACAUUAAUGAUUACUACACAGUCAAGCUAAAAUCAGAGUUUCAGGUAGCGAAAAAGUUGCUUUUGCAGGCAAAUGGGAUUUACAUAGGUUGAAAAGAAUUAAAAUUAUGAUGACAACAGCAAAAAUAAUAAAUAAAUGCUUGAGUUUCAAGAAACAACAGCCUUCUACAUUCUCUUCAACCUAUGAGCAAACAAUACCAUAAUCCAAAGCUUAUAAGACACUCCAUGCUAAAACAAACUUAAUCAGCCCCAAAGAACAGGAUAUUAGUUAACAUAUAACACUUUGAAGUUUUCAUUCUUUUAACAAACUCAAGGAAAUUUGAACUUCCAACAAUGAUUUUACUCCGUCAUUCUUUGCAUGAACCACCUCCAAACAAUCCUUUUAAAUUCAAAUUGAGUGAAAUCCCAGUUUUCCUUUGAUUCCUUGUGUUCCUAAUCAACGUAAAGGAUGACAUUAUUUGUAUCAUUUACAGAAAAGGCUCAAAUGAUGACUCUAAUGAUAACAAAAGGAGUUCGGCUCACCAGUAAAAUUUAAAAACAAAAGAAGCCAAAGGAGAAAUAUGUAAACCUAAAUCACCAGAAAACAAUGAUCCGAAGACAAAAUCCCUAAAUGAGGGUCAAGAAAAGUGCAAUAAAACAAAAUUAUAUACAAUUUUCUGUCUUCAAUUCUCAUCAGAUUCUAAGUCAAAUUCAACAAUUCCACUAAGUGCAGCAAGGAGAAACCACUUAUAUGGAUUUCCAAGUGUACUCCAAUAUUAACAACAUUCUGAAUACAAAGUAUGAAUGUGGAUGCAACUACCAAUUGAUAUACAUAAUAAAACCAUAAAACGUGGUAAAUCUACUCACAGAGUCUACACAUAUUAAGAAAACGAAAACAAGUUUUUUAAAGGCCAAACGCAAGUCUACAUGCUAAGUAUUCUCUGUCUUUUCAACUCUACAAUCUAAAGUAGACGUUUCUACAAAAUCCAAUUAAAAAGGCAAAGAGGAGAAUAGUUACAUCUUAAAGGCCUUGAUGUAGAUGCUACCACCGGACCCGCCUCCUCCUUUGCUUCCUCCAUCACCACCGUCAGCGAGCAAGCUCCCAUUAACUUCCAAAAGCUUAAGCACUUUCAUUUGAAUUAUCCCACCUCCACCCCCACCAUAAUCCACCUCCCUGUUUGUUGUCCCACCUUUGCUCCCAUAGCUACAAGGAUCCUGCAAAUAUGACCACCCAUAUGCAUCCCCACCCCAUACAUCAUCUGGAAGCUUCUUCUGGUCCAACAAACAAGCCGCACCUCGUCCCCAUAACCCCCACCAGCACCAUCCACCCCUGGGGUGUCCCGCUCGUCUGGGGAGGAGGAUCACCGGCUAAACCAGUAGUAUUCACAACUGACCCAUUCGAAAAAGUAGCAUUAUCUGCCGUCAAAUCAAAAGUUCCAGCAAAAAUAGUCGAAUUCUGACCCAAAGUAAAGUUCCCAGAGACAUUUAUCACUAGCUCGCAACCCGGAAACAUGCAAUUAACCGUAAUAUUGGGAAGAAUAUUAAAAUUCCCCUUCCCUUGUAUAUACACGUUAUCACUGAUAUUCAAAUUAGAAACUAUAUUGCAAGUAGUAUCUAACGAACCAACUCCUCCGAGAUCAGCUUCGCAAGUCACCGACGGCGGAUGAGGAGGCGGUGGCGGUGGCGCCGGAGGUGAGUAAUCCCGGUGAAACAAGAAUGAAUCGAAGUCGCCGGAGUCGUCAUCUAAGUCAAAAUCGGCGUCUCCGCCACCGUCCUGGACUAAAGUACCAUAACCGCAGCUAGGAAUCGGAAGCAAGCCUAUUAUUAGUAUCACCACUAAGAGUAAAGUGAAAGAAAGUACAGACAUGUCAAAAGGUGAAGAAGACGCCAUUGACUGAUGAAGAUGGGAAUAUUCAUCAGAAAUGAUGGUUGGGAGAGGGAGAAAUGGAUUGCAUCGGUGGAAUUUUUUGCUCGAAAACAAAACCCACCAGAAAAGUUUAUUAGUUUUUCGUUCCAAAUGCGGUUUAACUGUUUGAUAUAUGCCGGUGCGGAUGGAAAAAAGUGGCGCUUUGGGAACGGAGAAUGCCCUAGAAAAAGGGGUUUCUGGUGAGGAGCCAAAGACAACUACUCCCUAGCGGAUUCUGCAGGGCGAAGAAAAGAGGGAGGCAGUUUUUGGGGAAAAUUGAACAUGAGGAAAGCAAAAGAGAGGGCAAUAAAGGUAAAGGGUUAAGGGGGCGACUGAUUACUGAUUAGAUAGGGGACUAGAGAAAUUGGGGAGUUGAAUAUUGGGUUAGUGGUUUAAUGAGAGGAGGGUGAAGGGGUUAAAGAUUAGACUGAGAGAUUUUGAGGUAGAAAGCAUGACUGAUCACAACAAUCACAUCCGUUAAAAACUUGGUGUUGAAUUUUAUAAAUAAUAAAUUGUGAUGACGUUUUCUUUUUUUUGGGAUAAUUUCAGAAACUUGCCUUGAACUAUUCAUAGUAUCAGUUGGCUCCUUUGAAGUUUUUAAAAUCUCACCCACCUCUCUCAAAAUAUUUAGGCCUCGAAAAAUUCACACGUAUGAAGAGAUUAUUUAUUAAAAUAUAUUUCCUAAAAAAAAUUUCUUAACUCCCGUAUAAUUAUCUAUAAAAUUUUUCAAGGGCUCCAUCACUCACUAUAAUCCUUCUAAGUGGUUGAUUUUGACUAAAUUUAAUUUACCACGUUCUUUGUUGUCCCACCAUGAUCUCGAUAUAGAGAAAUAUGGACCAUUAUUAGAUAUCAAUUUAUUUUUCUCUAAUCUACAUAUUUUUGUUUAAAAUUUUAUUUUAUUUUUUGGUUAAGCAAUUAUUAAGAGCUAGGGUAAUGUUGUCACUUUUUGACCUGUGAUGGGAAUAUUUUAGUCUUAUAAAACUGAUAGGCGAGAUAAGUGAAAUUUUAAAAUUUUGAAUAGGAGAACUCAGUGAAAUUAUGCUCCUCAUGGGCAACUCGGUUGGUCUCAGCAAACCUCCUUAGAAGCUGGUGUCCAAUGCCCACAAGGAUUCAAGUCCUAUGGUUAUCGUGUUCGGAAGGAUGGGGCCUCUCCUCCCGGAUGGGAGUGGGAUUAGUUGGGCCCCGUAAGAAUUGGUCCGGACACCCAUUCCGUCAAAAAAAAAAAAAAACUGAGUGAUAUUAUGAAAAAUCUCGGGACAAUUUUUUGAAAUUUUGCCUUUCUUUUUUCAUCUUUGUCUCUCUUUCCCUUUCCUAUUUUUCUUGGCUUUCUGUGGAUUCUCUUUCUUUUUUUUUUUUUAAGUUUCUUUUUUGCGUUGGAGGAAUCUGACAGGAAGGUUUGACAAUUUUUAUCAAAACGAGAAAAAGAAAAAAGCAAGAAUGUUUGAAUUGAGAUUCUUCCUCUUAUUUACAUACAUCUUAUGGUAUCUUCUUUAUAUCUUAAUCAAGGAAUAGAGAGAUUCUUUUCUUUUCUGUUCUUUUUUGUCUAAAAUAGUGCAGCGUGAUAAGUGAUAGGUUGUUUCCUUGCACAAAUGUCUCAUGUUUGUGAUUGGGGCUGAUUCGUAAUUUAAUGAGGAGGAAGAUUAGAUUGACUCAUUGAUAUUGAGGUUGAGUGCAUGGCUGAUUGAGCCACUUUCAGUCAAAGUUUGCAAUUGUACUAAUUACAAAUUGUGAUGGCGCCCUUGUUCUAUACUUUUGUCUCUUUGUUUUGUCGGGGGAAUUUGAAUUAUGAUUUGACAUUUUUUAGAGAGAAAAAAGAGUUAAAAAAAAAUAUGAAGGAAUGACUGAGAAUGAGAGGAUUUUCAAGGGAUAUAUGCAUCCUUUUGUCUUUCUUUUUUGUCUACAAAGUAUGAUAAAGAUAAAUUACUUCUUUAUUUAUUGAUGGGAUGACUGAUGAGAUGUUUUAACUCUUUUUCUAUUUUCUUGUUUUCUUUUCUUCUGAUCAUAAGAAAUUUUCGGUAUUUUGUUAGUUCUUAAGUUCCUAAAGUAAGGAAACGGUCAAAAUAUAACGAACAAGGAACUCAUUGAUGCAAGCCUUUCUUAUAAUUAUUAACUUAAUUUUAAGUCACGAUGUGGCCUUGUUUGGAAUGCAUUUUUCUGGAUUUUUUUGUAGAAAAAUUACAGUAACGAUUUGAUAUAUGUGAGGUGAAAAGGCGAUUGGAAAAUAUGUUUACAAAAAAUAUAGCAAUUUUGCUGUCCAAACAAGGUUGUCUAAAAUAUUAAUUAACAACCAUUUUUCAAAAUUGAAAUUCUAUGUAUAAAUGCAGAAUCCCUCAAGAGGAAAAUGUUGAGAAAGUAAAAUUAUCAAAGGAUAUCACAAAAUGAUCUGGCUUGAUCUUGUUGACAAUGCCACCCACUAUGUCAGAUCGCGAUAUAAAGAAGAUGAUAGGCCUUCGCAAAAAGGGUUGAUAUGACUCAAUUUACAGGUACUCGCCUCGACAUAUACCAUAUGUAGUUAAUUUUCUAAUAUCAUAGAUAUCUAUACUUACGAUAUAUAAAGCAGGAAACUUGACCUAAGGUUUGGAUAGCAAAUUUUUUCAAAAAAACUUUUCAGUUGCAUUACAAACACAUUUUUCAAUUUAUUUUUUUAUCUCACAUACAUCAUAUCACAAAAAAUGCUAUAAUAAUUAUUCCAAAUAAUUAUUUGGAAUAAUGCUCUAUCCAAACAAAGCCUCGAGUUUUGAUGUAAAUGUUUUUUUGUCACUUUUUGAACUUUCAUUUUUGGCCUCGUACGAUCUAAAUUUUAUCAUGAUCACAACUUAUUUCAUUAUAAGUACCAAAGCAUAGCUUUUCAAACAAACUUAUUUUCAUUAUAACUACUCAUAAACACACAACAUAAUUAUACUCUUAAAAGAAAAAAUCUUAAAAGAGCAAAAUCAUGUUCAUUAAUUAAAAAAAUAUAUAUAUGUAAAAUAAGUUCAUACAAAAAAUAAUUUAUUUCUAAAUUGCACAUACAUUGGGUGUCUCCUGUAUGCUAGUGAUAAAAAUUGCAAAUGAAUCGAAACAAAUCAAGUUUUUGGUCUAAUCGAGUUAAGCCUCGACUCAAUUUUACCAAAUUUGAGCUCAUCGAUCUCUCAAUGUAAAACUCGAGUUCGAAUUUGACAGUAAAUUUGAGCCAAGCCAAGUUGGAACUCGAGCCCACUCAUGUUUUAAAAAAUAAUAAUUAUUAUUAUUUUAUUUUAUUUUUAAAAUAAUAAAUAAAAUAGUAUUUUUUUUCUUAACAAAUAAUAAAACAUUAGAUAUAUAUAUGUAAUUUUAUUAUUAUUAAUAUAUAUAUCUUAAUAUAAUCGAGCGACUCGCGAACUAAUGAACUAAGUUUUUCUGUGCUCGAACUCGACUCCAGUUUGAUGUUGACCAAACUCAAAUUGGAUUUUGAUCAAGCUAACUCACAAGAGGCUCGCAAGUAAUUUGACUCGUUUGCAACCCUACUAAUGACUAUAAUUGUUUUGAAAGACUGUUGGAAGAAAUUUGGGUUAGGUUAUAAAGUGGAAGGGAGUGUAAAUGAAAUAUACUAUAUUCAAAACCACUCAUUUAAUAAAAAAAAAAAAAAGUAUCAUACUAUUAGUUGCAUAUAAACGGUUAAAAACAUUAAACUAAGUGUAGAAUUAUGUGAAAGUAACUAUACCUUAGUUUUGGACCGUCGAAUUUCCUUAAAAUAUUUGUUACGGAUAAGGCCCCGUUUAUAUCUUAUCUUUGAAGUGAAGGAUAAGAGUACAUCAAGAAGUCCUAGUUUAUAUGCUUGGCCCCUACAGUUGGCUUUGCGGGUUUAGUUUUCAAAAACAUGUGUGUUGACUAACCUAAAUCACUUGUUAGCAUUGAAUAGGAGUUCAAAAAUUCAAAAGCAGAAAUGAAUAACAAUAUAGACUAGUGCACCUAAAGCUUAUUUGGUCCAAAACAAACUCUCUUUCAUGUAUGUGGUCCAAAUUUGAAGAGCAAAUCUCUUAGGCUUUUACACUAACACCAAAUGGCAUUUAGCUCUAACGAGUAAAAACCAAAUCUUCCAGCAAAUAAAGUGCCCAUAUCCCAUUGGCAACCAUUAUUGACUUUGGCAUCCUACAUUUCAUAGGGUAACAAAACGGACAAAAGGUAUGUGACUUUGUACAUAAAAAUUUAUUCCAGUGUAAGGUUGCCAUCACUUUCGACAUUUUUAUGCGUAUGAAAACAAAUUAUCAACAACAUUGAAACCUUCCAAAACAAAACCAGUGACUAGAUAAUUUGAUUAUUUGCCAAAUGAUUCUUUCUAUUUUGUGACUUUGACAAAGUCACAAAACCAAUUGGCUAUGAGUGAAAUGGCCCAACAUCUUUUAUAUAUAUAUAUAUUAUGGUUGGAAAUCCUUAGAAUAUCAAUGUAGGAUAUACAACUAACACGUAAAGCUAUAAACAAGUCGAAUCGAAUCGAGUAUCUCAUGUUUGAACUCUGUUCGUUAAGCCAUUCGAUCAACGUUCGUGUUCGUACGUUAAUUUCGAACUCCAAACAUGUGUUUGUGUUCGGCUCGUUAAGCAAAGUUUGUAUUCGUGUUCAGCUCGUUUAACAUAAACGAGCCGUUCGCAAACAUGCUUGAAAUGCUCGAAUCCAAAUUAUUUUAAGCCUUAAAUAUGUCAUGCAAAUCAUUCAUCAUUCUCAAAAACAAUUAAAGCACUAAGUGACUAAAUUCUAUUAUUUAUUAACUAUAUAACUAACAUUAACAUAAAAACAACAAAUAAAACAAAGCAAUUUGCCCUCCAAAUAUAAAAGUUCAGCCAUAAAAUUAAUCUUCAAAUUUGUCAAAUGAUAAUUAUGCCCAUGUUCGCGAACAUUCGUUAAAACUCACGAACAUGCUCGUGUUCACGAACGUUCAUUAAAACUCGCGACUAUACUCAUGUUCGCUCAAUUAUUAAUCGAACAAAAAAAUUCGUUCGAACUUGGUUCGUUUAAAAUUUCGAACGAGUCUUUCACGAACACGAACGAGUCGAAAUGAAUCGAGCUACCGAACAGCUCGGUUUGUUGAACAGCCCUCGCAAAUGUGACUUGACAAAUGGGUUUAAGCCAACACAAGAAAUCCCAAGUCACGGGUGAAAUAAAUGGGUAACAAACAAACCCAAGGCCCUGCUCCAAUACCAUGUUAAAUGACUUGGACUCUCAUCUCAAAAUCAAUUAGGUAUGAGUUGAGUGGCCUAAUAUCUUUCAUAGAAAUAUAUAUAUUUAUAUAUAUGGCUAGAAAUUCUUGGAAUAUCAAUGGGGAUAUACAACUAACAAGGAUUAUCUAAAGAAAAGAAAAAAAAAAAGCAGAAAAAACAUAUCUAAAGAGGAUGGCCCGCAUGAAACUUGUACAAAUUGGACAAGGUAAUAGGUUACUUCAAAGAUUUUGAUGGCACCUGCAGAUAUAUUAUCCUAAUGUAUCUUUAUUUUUCCCAACUCUUCUCCCUAAAAUUCUAUUUCUCUAAAAGGAAUGUAGUAUUUUCUUCUCAGUUGGAUCUACACCAAGUAAUGCAGUGAAAUGUGUCCAGCAGAGAAGGACUUUUGAUCUAGUUUCUGAGUUUUUGGAGAAAGUGAAGAAAAGCUGCUCUUUCUUCACAUAAUUAAUUAAUGCUUUAACUGUUUGAGGCCGUAUGGAGUGGGCCGGCCUGAAUUUUAGCACGAACUUACCUGGAAAUGGUUUAUUGUGGGAUUCACAAAGGUGUACACGUACUAAUGAAAACAAAAAUGUGUACUUUGUUUUGGACCACUGAUCCUCCCGAUUGUGACCAUUAAACCCCUCCAAUCAAUUAUUUGUCAUGCAAUUAUCCAAGAAGAAAAUAGACAAUUAUUCAUACUCUACGAGACGGGAUAAGUUGAUUGUGAUGUUCUACAGAAAAAUUUUUACGUUUUUCGUAAAUACGUUUCUCAGUUACUUUUUUACCUCACAUACAUUAAAUCAUUAUAGUAUACAUAUAUAUUUUUUUACAAAAAGUCCUAAAAAUAGCAAUCCAAACGGGUCAGGAUUUCUCAUUUCAUUUAAAAUAAUUAUUUUAAAUUUGAUUAGUAUAGGACUAUUCAUCAAAUACUACGAGGGUAAUUCUUACAUGAAUUUGUUGGCAACAGAUGGGGAUGCAUGCUAAUAAAUUCGUAAAUUACAGCCCCAUCCCCUAAAUCCCAGACAGUACGCGCCAAAAGAUCUCACAUCAAUGGCCAUUUGUUGGAGACAAUCGCCAAAUCUGCAUGGUCCUCCUUUUCUUCAUUUCCUACGUACUUUAAUACUAAAAAUUUAAAACCCAAGUCCAACUUUAUUUUUAGAGGAUAAGGUUCUAUCCAACACGAAACUUUUAGGCCCUUAAAACAUCUCCACUACUAUAAAUAGUUGCCAUGAAAAGUUGCAUGUCUUAGCAUAUUUAUAGUGGUACAUAAUAAACUUAUAGUUACUUAAAAGAUAAUCUACAUAUUGACACGGAUAUUCGUUAAAAUAGGGUUCAGGUAUUAAUAUCUCGACCAAGCAAAAUUAAAUAGGAAAAGUGUAUAAAAAGUAAGACGAUAGUUGUUACGAGUACGUACCUUUACAUAAUAUAUUGAUUGAGAACGAUUUAGGUGUACAAAUAAAUGCCCAUUUAACGCCUGUGUCGGGAAAAUACUAAUUUGAAAUUUAGACAACACAAAAUCUUUUUUCUAGCUGCUUCUAGUGCUGCAUGGAAUGCUUGAGAUUCAAUAGCCAUUGCUUCUUCUUGCAGCUGAUAGGAGCGUGGUGGUGUUACUUGUCAGAUACUAGGAGGUUGAAUCUUGGCACAUUUACAGCCAAUACUGCAAACUUCACCUGUUCACCCCAAAUAAUUGUACUGGUGUCACUAAUUGCUUUGUCUACCUUGUUUCCAUGUCUUAAUUGUUCCUCCACGUACUGCCUUUACAUUCACUGAUUAAAUGCACCUACUUCCGUUUGCAAUUGACUUUGCAAUUUGUGAUUCUUUUUUCUCACGUAACUGAUCAAUUGGAGUUGAAUUGAUGUAUCACUGCUAUUAAUGGAAGGCAAAAUGAAUAAAACUAAUCAUGCAAGUAUAUUAAAGAGAAUGAUGUUACUCAAGUUCAAUAACUUGAGCAAUCAAGACUAGAAAGAAAUUUAAGAUUUCUUAAUUUCAUUCUUGUUAGUAACAAUUACCAACUUUUUUAAUUUCGUCUGCUUCGUGCAUUAAUUUGCACGUACCUGCAUGCAUGCUUAAUUUGUCGACAAAUGCUUAACAACACCCAGUUAAUGACGGUUUAGAAUAUAUAUAUAUAUAUGUAUGUAUAAUAGUAAUUUAUAAAUUUUUUAGGCAGUACAAUAUUGGCAACCUUUCUAACUUCCUGGGAUUCUCUGCAUCUUUUUGGAAAGAAUGUACCGAGAAAUUCAAGGGAUUAAAGAAACACUUCUUGAUUGCAUAUAAGGUCUCAAUGAUGAUUGUUGUUACUUGUUAGGUCCUCCAAACAUAUAUAGAUAAGUACAUGUGAAGUUGACGUCUACUUUCCUCCUCGAGGCCUCCACUUUUUACGACUAAAAUCCUGCAGGACUACUGCUCAAGGAACUGAAGGCCAUGGGAACAAACAAGUUCCAAGGGCAUGUCAUGGAAGUUAGGGAAUCAACAACACCCAAAUGAACAAUCAUUUCUAGGGUACCCAGAAAGUAGGAAGGUCAUUCUUUCCUUUCCUUUUUCAGGGGAACAUUGAUCAAAGCUAAGAACCAAAGAUCAUGUGAUGUACUCAGUAUAAACUCACCUUGGAUCAAGAUUUUGUUAUAUUCAAUGUCUUAAUAUGUAUAUAUAAAUGUCAUAUGAAGACUCAGUAUUACUUUACACUAAUGUUUAGAUUAUCAAGACGAAGAAUUGAAUAAAUAGGUGUAUGUCAAGAUGCAUUGCACAACGAAAAUUCAGCAUUCAAGUGGAGAAAGGAAAAUGAGCAGUAAUAUCAGUUUCUGUCUGGUUUUUAAGGGGCAAUGACAUUAAAUUACACUACGUUAACACAGAAUGUUCCAAGGUGGGGCUAAGCCAAUUUUGGAGCCUGCUAAAUUUUACUAAUGCAUAUUUCCUGGCCAACAGCUUCACGCCCCAUUUCACAAACCAAGGUUCAAACCUGGUUGCUAGGAUUGAGGCAAGGAGGGAUUAUGGAGGAAGGGGGGGGGGGGGUGUGGGGGUGGGAGAGGAAAAAGAAAAAGCCUAAAUCUUGUUGAUUCCUGAAGAAUUGUACGUAUUAGUUAUAGCAGGAAGCAUACUGUCGAUUUAACAAAUGCUGAAGGAAAUACCAAGGCAAGCUUAUUGAUACACAAGAUAGAGAAUAAACAAGUUAGAAUGGGGGAGAAAACUCGCAGUUUCGGGCUAAGAGAGAUGAAAAACAAUAGUAGAAACAAAAAGCAGGGGAAGUGUAUCUGUAAUAUUCAUGUACAAGACAAACUACACAGAAAUUGCUCAAUUUUGGCAACUGCUCUUGGAAGUUGGAAUACACCAACCAAAGAUCACUUGAUGAGGAAGAAACAUCCUCUUAAUCUUUUCAGUGCAGUUCUAAUGGCUGACCAGCUUGACAAAGUUGACAGGAAUCAAGUGAC